GCUAAUCCUACCUUCUGAGACACACUCUAUCUUUUUAUAGCCCCAAUAGUCAAUCAUAUAAUACUUGAAUACUUACUAACUUUGAAUCCUCGUGAGUACCCCCAUAGUCGGAGUUCACACUCUAUAGCACUUCAACUUUUAUUUCUAUGAGCUCAACCUUCAAGAACUCAAUCCUAGCUUCUAACAUUUAACAUGGAUAUCACCAAGCCUUUGAUGAACCAUACUACUUCCGUCAUAGCCUACCAAUAUUGCGACUCAAAACUUAUAUCUCUCUGCCAUGAGAAUCAAGAUCAUAUAAAAAAAACUCAACACUAUCAAUCAAAACUCCUUAACUUGGCUAUUUAGAAUACCAUAUUCCGUUCAAGCCUAUUAGAUCACUUCCAUAUAACCAGUAUCAUUAACCAAGAAAUCAUCAUAUCUACCUUUAUGGACAUCAACUGUUCAAACUUAAUGUCUAGUGCUAAGCAUGAUUUACAACCCAACCUGACACACAAUUCUCACAAAAUAUUCAUCAUUAAUCUUAAGCCACUAUUCUUACAUCCACAUCCUACAUUAAAUUCAAGGCAAUAGUCUAGCAUCAAUCAUCUACCACCAAUGAAGAAGGCAACACAAUAUACUAGUCCAUCAAAUUGGGACAUUCUAUCCAAAUACCUCAAAAAUAUACUACAUACCUUCUUAGAAGUAGUACUAGUUUGCAACUACCAACGAAAACAAGGUCAAGGGGGUAAAGUCACAUAAUAGACAUGGUCAACCUUAAUCUUAUAUUAUAACCCCAUACAAUCUUAUCUAUUUAUACGACUUUCUCACAUCACACUUACUUACCCAAGCGUAUAUUUAGACUACCUUCAAAUUCCAAAAAUAAUCAUGAGUCUAUAAUUAUAACUUACUGGCUUAUCUAGCCAUUUUCAUACUUCAAGCAGACAACAAUUCACCUUAACUAAUAACUCCUUCUCUACCUUCUACUACACUAACACACAAGGACGUAUCACUUCAUUACCAACUCAAUCUCAUGCAAAAAGAUUCGGCUAUACAUAUAUUCAACCAACAUAAGAACAACAAGUUGCUAGUGAAUCAAAAUAGGCCUCACAUGGCUUCACUAAACUUUGAUUCUUGUGUUUUGAACAAGAAAAUGAAAUGAAUAACAAAGCAGCUAUGCUAGUGAAUCAUAAGAGCCCCACAGACUACCAUAUAAUCCACACAUGCUACUAAAUACCACCUUAGUCUAUCACUAUAAAGUGGUAAAUCAUCCUUAAACAUCGGUUAUUCAACUAAAAUAUUUAUUUACACAAAAGUCACCCUCACUCUGACUUUUAAUUUUGUGACUUCAUAUCACCAAGUUCUUGGUCUAAUCUCACUACCAAUAGGUCAUGACACCGACACUUUAACUUAUACUACUAAUCGGGUGGAAAUACAGUUCCAACAUUUUGCUACACAUCAUUCCCCUUGAAGCAUGAAAUCUGGAACAUAAAUUUUUGAAAAAGGACGGAAUACUCUUAAUACCGCAGUCCAAAAAGCAUGAUUUCAUCAGAAUCAAAGUUCACACAAAAAUCAAUAUACUCUGAGGCACUAACGAACUCUUCUCAAGUCCUUGCACAAAUUUUAAACUCUUAUAUGGCUCAAUCAGAAAGGACCAUACCAUUUAGACUCUAAACUUCUGCACUUGAAUCACCCCAAUAGCGAGACAUAUCUGGGCAUAUCAAAGUAAGGAAAGAAUUGGGAUAACUUUACUUUUGUAUUGGCGACACCAUAUCACGAAUUAGAGUAUGUAAGAGGAACAUUCUGGCUCAAUAGCAUGAACUAGAACAUGAAAAAAGGGAAACAUUCCUAAACACCUAGUAGCCUCCUUCUUAUAAGUGUGGCGCACUACACACCCAUAAAAAGACUCUACCCGACCCAAUUUUGCAGACACCUUGGGACCAUGAACCGUGCUUUGAUACCAAGUUUGUCACGAAUCAAACCAGGGCCCUGGCCGUGAUGGAUAUCCCGAACUAUGAAGGCCCGAGAGCCCUUCUAACUUGUAAUCAUAUACACCAUUCAUAUAUAAAUAGGAAAUACAGAAAUAAAAUCUGCUACGGAAACAUGGUUAUAAUCUAAAUGUAGUUAACAAUGAGGAAUAAAAUCCAAUAUCAACUAAACACCGUCUGAAAACCAUCUGCGAAAUCUCUACUACAUGAUUAAAUAAAAAUUAUCUAAAAACUGGGACAAGGCCCCCAUAGACCAAAACCAUAAUAAAUAAUAACUAUCUGAAAGAAACUAGGCCUUCUUAAAUAUAGAAGGCUUACCAACUGGUACUCUUCACUCCUGUCUGAUGAAAUCUACUGCUUAUCAGGACCCCUAGACUAUGCCUCAGAACCUGGAGGGGGAGGAAUCAAUAUAGAUGUACUGGUACGCAGAGCAAUCAAAAAUAAAGCUUUUAUAUAAAUAAAAUAGUUGGAGAGCAAUUUGUCAAAUACCAUACAUGAAGUAGUUCUAGAACACAUGCGUACUUUCUGAAAUUCAUAAAUCAUUCUUGCCAAUGCAAUGUCUAAUCUUUGUAUUACUUUUGAGUUAUGUGGCACUCCCCUACAAUUCUGAUAUUCCACGGGCGGUAUAGAAUCUACCAUUGACUCGGCAGAGAAGCCCCCAAAACGAGUGUGCCGCAAGGUUGGAGUUUCUGAUUCUGAUACGCCACACAACACUAGGCCAGCGUAGUGUAAUACACCCAGAUCAGUAAAUCACAAUUUUGGGCAAUGAGUUAUCUGAACUCAUGCCUUCUUCAGGGAACCACCUAACAUCUCUUUAUGCCCAAUUUUGUCCUAUUCUGAAUUAUGCAUUAUUCUAGUUUCAAUAUCUGAAAAUUCUGACUUCAAACAUGCAUUCUAUUCUGUUCUGAAUUUAUCAUGGCAUAAUCUGAAUUGGUGUCAUCACACCAAGACUUGCAAGUCCUAUUUCUGAGCCAUAAUGUAUCAUGCAUAAUUCUUUCAUUAAAGCACAGUUCAGACCACCCAAACAUGCAAACAGUAUAAAAGAUUUCAUGUUCUAAAAACACAAGUCAAAACUAUGCUGAGAUUAUUCAAACAUAUGGUGGUUAUGUGUUCUUUUGGCAAACAUGCUACUCUUAGUUAUAUGCAUAUUCAACAUUUAUCAACAUUUAUAACCCUCUCUUUUUAUAUAGAAAUCAAAUUCAAGUCAUAGCAUAAAUCAAGACAUUUCAUAUCAUGCUUUCAAGAUGCAAUUUAGAACAAUUCAUAUCAUAUGAAAGAUAAGAAAAAUUAUAACAAGAGAGGAGUUCAUUAUAAUUCAUGUUCUCAAUUGAAUAUUCAUCCUUAAACACAUUUAUACACACACACACACAUACACACACACACACACACAUAUAUAUAUAUAUAUAUAUAAUUUUUCUAUCAAUUUAGGGGAAGACCUAAAGGCCAAAACAAUAUCAUCAAUGCUUCUAAAACAUGAAUAUAUUCAUAAAUCUGAAAAAACCCUUUCUUAAAAUCAAGAUUUCUAUACCCAUGAGAUUUUAGAAAAACCCCGCGUACCUUAAAUUAGAAGCUUUUGAAUGAACUCUAACUUUUGGGAUGCUAUACGUACGAUUGAUGGGUGUUUCUUGUAUCCCUCGCAAUGGGGAUUCCAAAUCUCGAAGAAUUAUUGAAAACCCAUGGUGAAAUCUUAAGAUAUUUUGAUCUUUGGGUUGAAACUCUAAGAAGUGUUCUUGAGAGAAUUUGAGAAAAUGGGGGUAUAAUUUGGUUAUUAGAGGCUGAAUCUAAUGUUAUUGGGGCUAUUUAAGGGUGGUAAAUGACCCAAAUACCCCUCUUGGAUGCGGAGCUUGACUGCAGGAAAUUACACUGGAAGGAAUAGGUAGGGCGCCACCUUGCUUAUUGCCCUGGUUUACUGCCUCUCACAAAAAUAGCUGUAACUUUUUUGCUCAGGUAUCAGAUUUUCUAUGAAAUUGGUAUCGUUGGAAAGCUAAUUUGAAGAGAUUUCAUUUUAUAUAUAGUAGGCCCUCUAAUUCAUUAUAUACAAAGAGAUAUGGUCAAUUGAUGUUGACCCAAGUUUCGACGCUCACUCAACUCGAAUGAUAGGAAAGCUUUCAACUUGUCCUUGAGUUAGGGGACCUUUAUGAUCUUAAUUCAUGCUCAAAUAGGUUCCCACACUCCAUAAUUGAUUAACAUACCAAAUUUGCAUAGGAUUUAAGGCUUUUGAAUCAUCUACGCAUAGAAAUAACGAUUUUUGUUCUAGCCCAAAAUGCGGAGUGUUACAUUAUUUCCCCCUUGGGAUCAUUCUUCCCCGAAUGAUGGGUAGGAAUGUUGAAGCUUAAAGGUAUGGAAUAAUGUGGAUAUGAAUGUGUCUUCUAAGAGAGGAUAUAACUGAUCUGAAACAUUUAAACUUCUAUCAUGAAACUGAAUUCUGAGUUGACUUGAAGAAAAUCCCAUAAUAAAUGCAUAAUUCCAUCAUAAGGUUGAGGUUUCAAAAUUCAUGUUUUUUUAAUCAACUUCAAAGCCUUAACUUACAUACAUAAUAAGGAUUAUUAAAAUCAACAUACUUAUGCCAAUAAAUUUUAGGAUAGUUCUACAUACCUUUGAUGUAGAAAAAUUAAAUAAUAACCUUGAAUUUGGAAUCUACAAGCUUUAGCAUUGAGAAACCCCUUCUUGAUGAUAUUGGGAGGAAGAGAAUGAGGAUUUGGAAGAAACCCUAGCUUCUUUCUUGAGAGAGAAGAGGAGAAUGAGCGUUUAAAUCUGAUUAUAAAGAGUAAUAAUUCUUAUUGGAAGAUGUAAGUCGUGUGGGAGGAGACGUUUAUGGUGGGGAAAAAACCCAAAUACCCCCUUGAAAACUUUAUAAUAGUGCAAAACGGUUCCUACUGAUGAUUUGGGUGACGGAUCAUCACUCCCGCGAUAGAUAGUCACUCCAACCGUUCCAAAAUGACCAAUUUUCUCUCUAUUUGCUUAAGGACGACGGUCUGGUGCGACGGGCCAUCACCCUAGCCGUCGCACCUUGGAAGACAAACACCUUUUGAUAAAUCAUGCAUAACUUUUUAUUACGAUAUCAAAUUAAAGCAAAACCGAUGGCGUUGGAAAGAAGACUCGAAGACCUCUCAUUUGAUAUACAGGAUGCCACCCUAACUCAUUAUAUUUUAGGAGUAAUAUUUGUUGAAAGUUGACCCAAGUUGGAACAUUUCCUAAAACUCAAUCAAUAGAAAAAUUCUCAACUCAACUUUGAGUUUGGAGAUUUUUAUGAUCUCAAUUUAUCUGUAAAUAUGUUCCCUCACUAAAGAAUUGAUCCUCACACUUAUAUGGACACAAAAUCAUUAGGUUCGGAUCUAUAUAUGUCGGAAUGAAGGUUCGAAUUCUAACCCGAAAAUGUGGGGUGUCACACAAACGACCCCUUAAUCUAAAUGCCCUAUCAAGUAUUUUAGUCACUUAAACAUGGAAAAUUGCACGUAAGAUUAGAAGCUGUGGAAUCAUACCCUAUCAUCCAUAGUGUAAUAAGAAAAAAGAAAAAGGAAAACUUUACACCUUGUUUGGAUCGUUAUUACAAAUACGACAUUUGCUUAGAUUGCUAUUUAAGAUAUAUUAUAUCGUAUUGUUAAAUCCAUCGUGCAUAACAAUGAAAAGCUCCAUUGUGUGUGUUAGCCUUAUACUACGUUGCAACAUUCUUUUGGACAUUUUUCAAUAGUUUUGUGCAAAUUAUGCACUCCAAAGUCUACCAUUUACCUAGCAUGAAUUUCGUUUAAUCCAUAAAAACGUAGAAUCCCAUGAGACCACCCUUUAAUUUUUGUUUACCAUACAAAUUUUUAUGUGCCACACAUUAAACUGAACAAUAGCUUUUAUCUCUUCCAUCCAUUAUUUCAGCAUCUUAAUUUAAGCAAAACCAUACAAACACACAUGAUUCUUAAUCUAUUCACACCUAUAAAUAAUCCUCCUUUUCAUUCUUCAUUUCUCAUAAUCACAAUUUGUUUUUAACAAAAGUAAAAAGAAUGGAGGUGUCUAACAAGAAAAUAACAUCUCCAUUCUUUGCUUUCUUGUUUAUUUCUUCUCUUCUUAUUCAAUGUUUUCCGUGUGUUUCAUCAAAACCAAUUCCUGGAGGAAAAUACAAUAAGCCGGUCCCAAACCCAGGCCCCAUAAAUCCGGUCCCAAAUCCAGGCCAACCACUUCCAAAUCCUACAACACCGGGGGGCAAAAAAUUUUGCGUACCCAAACCUGAGGCUACAGAUAAAAAAUUGACGGCUUGUAUAAAAUGGGUUUGCAAAGAGGGAGGUGUGGAUUGUGGCCCAAUUAAUCCUGGAGGUGCAUGUUCUCAGCCCAAUACUCUUAGGUCUCGUGCAACCUGGGCCAUGAAUGCUUACUUUCAAAUGAAGGGUAAAACUGACAGUAUGUGUGGUUUUUCGGGCACUGGUGUCGUCUCUUCCAUUGAUCCAAGUAAGUAUUCAACAUUUUUUUGAUCAGUGUAAAGAAUUUUGUAAAUUAUUAAAUCACUUUGAAGAUGAAGAAUUUUUGCGAUACAUAUUGACAACGUUUUGUCAAAUCACCAAUAAGAUAACCAUGUAUAAUUCAGCAUAGUAAUUAAGAUUAGUAACCUAAAAUAUUAGGCAAACAACUGAAAUAACAGUUUAAAUUAUACCGAUAGUGUAAAAGUUUUUGAAAUUUUAAGCUUAUGUAAGUUUUCACAACAUUAAGUGUUUAAUCACUUAUUAUAAAAUAAUAAAAUAUUGAAUUUGGAUUGAAAUCAAAUUUAUAAUUAAUAGACCGUGAAUUCAAUAAGAAAACUAAAAAUGGAGCAAUUCAGUUCUAUCGUAAUACAAUUUUUUUUGUAAUUAGUCCCAUGACAAAAUUAUAAUUAUACCCAUUAGUAAGUUUUCAAAUGGAGAAAAUUAUAACUUAUCAUUUUUUAGUGGAUAUUUUGGUAAGACAACAUUAUUAUUCUUGAUUCUAUAGUAAUAUAGACAGAUAGAUAUAAAUUACAUCUGCUUAUUGUUUAGGCUAUUUAAAUAGUGUAAAACGAUCUUGUAUUUUUAGUUUAUAAAAGUUAAAACUCUGACGAUAAUUAUUGAUAUUGUUCAUAUAAGUAAAUUAGUAACUAAUCUUACAAAUAAGAUAAGUAACUUUUUACAACAUAUUAAAAUCCAGUUCACAUUCAAUAUUGUUAGGGUUUUUGUCCUAAUUUUCUUACUAUAUUUAAGCUUUACUUUUUCUUAGAAGGAAAAUAAAAGUUACCAUAAUUACUUUUACAUUUCCUGAUAGAAAAAAUAUAAUUCUUUUCCAUAUUUGGCAAACCUCUUUCUUGGAGGAAAGGUUUUGGACAUCUAUAAAUAAAAGACCCCCUUCCCAUAUCAUAACACAAUAGCAUCAACAAUGUAGUCAUCAAAGAGUCUCGUUUAGGGGGAGAUUUUCUCUCUAAUAGUUUUACGUUUUCUUUUAUAUUAGGUUUUUAUAUGUAGGCCAAUUGGCCAAACUAUAUAAUCAUCAUGUUUUUAGUAUGUUUUUCUUUUCGCCUGAUUUAUCGUCUCAAUAAUUUGUAACUAAUAGCUUCCACAUGACGCCAUCUCGAUUUCAAACCCAACAAAUAUUUUUAUCAUAAAACAUUCUUGAAUUAUUUUAUUGAAAAUCUAAUGAUAGUUGUCCUAAUAAUUGUUUUUUUUUUUUUGUAGGUUAUGGUACAUGCAAGUACCAAUCUUAAGUUUUUCGGACCCCAAAAGAAAGAUUUUGCAGCUACUCCAACAUUUGAAGAAUUAGUUUUGAAAUAUUAAGCUAUUGUUUCUAAAUUCUCUAUUUAAUUUUCAAAAACUAAUCUAAUUAUGUUGUCAUGUAGUGUGUUUUUAUUACAAAUAAAAAAUAAAAAAGAUUGUUGCCUACUUAAUUUUCCACGAUCAAGUUUUAAUUAUAUUCUAUCUUUUAUCCUUUUUGUUUGAUAAUUUAGUGUGCAACAUUCUACUAAAACUAAACAAUGCUAUUACUAUUUGAAGAAUUAUAUAUAUAUGUAUAUUUUAACCGUGAUUUACUUAAUACUAAAAAUAAAGAAAGUAUGGCAAAUAUUGUUAUUCAGUUCAUAAAAGGUAUGAACUAAAAGUGUUUUUUUCUACUGUUUUUGGGUUUUUAUUGAAAAUCUAAUGAUAGUUGUCCUAAUAAUUGUUUUUUUUUUUUUGUAGGUUAUGGUACAUGCAAGUACCAAUCUUAAGUUUUUCGGACCCCAAAAGAAAGAUUUUGCAGCUACUCCAACAUUUGAAGAAUUAGUUUUGAAAUAUUAAGCUAUUGUUUCUAAAUUCUCUAUUUAAUUUUCAAAAACUAAUCUAAUUAUGUUGUCAUGUAGUGUGUUUUUAUUACAAAUAAAAAAUAAAAAAGAUUGUUGCCUACUUAAUUUUCCACGAUCAAGUUUUAAUUAUAUUCUAUCUUUUAUCCUUUUUGUUUGAUAAUUUAGUGUGCAACAUUCUACUAAAACUAAACAAUGCUAUUACUAUUUGAAGAAUUAUAUAUAUAUGUAUAUUUUAACCGUGAUUUACUUAAUACUAAAAAUAAAGAAAGUAUGGCAAAUAUUGUUAUUCAGUUCAUAAAAGGUAUGAACUAAAAGUGUUUUUUUCUACUGUUUUUGGGUCUAUCAAGAAAAUUCUGUCUCAAAUCAAUAGCACAACCAACACACCAAUAUUACACAUACAAUUUACCAAAAUCAUCAACAACCCAUUCACCAUAAAUAACAUUCGCUAUUCAUCUCCAAACUAUGAGAAGAAGUCAAUAACUUCAAAAGUCCAUAAUAACAAAAGAAUACUCAAACUCUAAAGUCAUGACUAUGGAGCGAUUCUAAGAGCUUUCAACUUGAACAAGUGCGAGGCUUACCAGGAAUAUGUCACGACCCGAGGUUACCCCCUAGUCGCAAUAACGGUGUUUACGGUCACAAGUGACCACAAGCUAAUUCUUGAGCUGAUACCUGCUGUGAGCACUGAGUAUAAUAAUAAUAUAACACAUGUGUGAAAGAUACAAUGAGAAAAUAAUACCAAUCUAAAUAUUGAAAAUGUGGUUCAACCACAAGUCUAAAACAUCUGAUGAAAUACUGGAAGCUAACUAUCAAUUUAAAACAACGGAUAAUACUGAAAGGUCUGGUUAACUGAAUAAUCGUCUAACUGACUGUUUGAUUAUUUGAAAAGCCUCUAACUGAAUGACUAAGAAGUUGUGGGAAAAUCCCCCAACUAACUUUGACAGACUGAACAUAAUGACAUUCUGAAGUACUGAAUGAGAAAUAAUAUGUAACGCCCCAAAAUCUAAUCCCCGAGAUGCCACACGGUGCUCCGAACUACAAGUAGUUCUGAGCUAACCCUAGUUGCUUUCUACUAAUCUGAGUCUCAAAAAGGAUAAAUAUAAGCAUGAAACCAUAAUAAGUGCGGAAAUCUAUUUGAAUUCUCUGAACAUAUAUCAAAAUGCAAAUCUCAAUAGUCUAAUAAAAACAAAUAUUGAAUAGAAUCUGAAUAUGAUUUCUAUACCCAUGAGAUUUUUAGGAAAACCCGGCAUACCUUAAUACCGGAAGAUAAUAGAUAAUUCUUGAAGCUUACGGAUUGGGGAUUCCAAAUAAUCAGUCGAUUUUGAAAAUCCAUGGUUGAAUCUUGAGUUAUUUGGGUUUUUAUUUUGAAACCCUUAAGAGAGUUCUUGAGGAAAAUUGAGAGAAAUAAACUUAUUUUGGUGUUAUGGGAGUUUAAUCCAGUGUUAGAUAUGAUAUGGGGUUGAAAACUAUCACAUUUACCCUUAAUGAGUCGGAAGGAAGCUGAAAAUUGACCCCAGGAUAUACCCAGGGCGGAUCCCUUCUUAGUCCACCGCUCUAGCCCAGGCGGUGCCCUGCUUAUAGCCUCUUUCUACUGGUCACGAAAAUGGCAGUAACUUUUCGCUCCAGUAUCGGAUUUUUUCAAAAUUGGUAUCAUUGGAAAGCUAAUUUAAUUAUCUACAAUUUGGUGGGUAUUGGGAUGAAAAUUUCCAUGUAUAUAAAGAGUCAUACACAUUUGAAGUAGACCCUUGUAGAAUCGAAUAUCGAAUUUUGGACUAAUCAAAUGAUCUUAGCUUAACUUUGUUCUAAGUCAUUGCUAUGAACACUUUUCACCUGUAAACUACUUCAUAGAUUAGGAUAAUGAUCAUGAAACUUGUAUUCACAUUCAAAUCAUUUGGAUUAGAGCUUAGACGUGUAGAAACGACGAUUUAAUUUCUAGUUCGAAAAUGUGGGGUGUUACAUUAUCUCCCCCUUGGGAUCAUUCGUCCCCGAAUGAUAGGUAGGAACUUGUUGAAGCUUAAAGGUAUGGAAUAACGAGGACAUAAUGUGUCCUCUAAGAAAUAUAUAUCCGAUCUGAAAUAUUUAAACUUCUAUCAUGAAAUUGAAUUUUGAGCAGACUUGACUUUACCUGCUUCAAGAAGCUGAUUCAUGCUGAGAGUUUAGGAUUCCCUUAAAGUAUUCAUGAUCCAAUUAUACAUAUUGAGUUGAGAAGUGAUAACUUAUGAAAGUACGAACCAUGAGACAACCAGACUUAGGUCACACAAGGGUAUUACACUGUAUGAGCUAAAAUACUUAGAAAUUUUGAGAUUAUGCACUGAACUUUUAUGCACCGAGCCUUGACCAAAUAGCUGAAUCUAAAACAUGAUGCUUGGAAUGAACUGAAUUCACAAUUUACAUGGAUGGAAUAGGUUAUAUCCUGGGGUGGUCAUAUAUAUGAGACUUCGGAUAGUAAGACUGCGUGAAAAGGUGGAAAACCACAGUAACUAAUUAGCCUGACUGUCAAACUGAAUUGCUGGCUAUACAGACUGAAUUACACUAGACACUUAUACUUAACUUGAGUAUUCCUUGAACACCCUUUCUAAAGAAGUCCUAGUAGCCGUAGAAAGCAAGGAAUCUUGGGAAUGAGUUACAAAAGACAUCCAACUAGGGAAUCACAACAAUGACAUUACUCUUUAACACGGAAUAUAGACAUAUAACUCAUAAACUAGGAUAGAAUUACCACACCUUAAGCAAAAAAACUUCUUACUUUCAGGUUACCCACACUUCUAAAAUACUCUCUCAACUAUAGUUUUCCCCUUAAAUAUCAUGCUCAUUGAUUCCACUUAUUUUUCUCACAUAGACGCUGAUAUCUCCAUCUACUAAUGUCUAAACUUAACUAAAUCCUCUCACUAUCUUCAAGCCUAACUCAAACCAUAAGACACACCACAUAAUACUGUAGUACUAGUCUGAAUCAUAAAUUCAGUAUACCCUUCAUUUCACAAUUCCUCAUCUCAUGCAUAAUUCUUAUUGCCACUCCCAUAAUCACCUUCAACUUCUGAUUAGACAUUCACAAACACUCAAAGCAUCCAUCCGUAUGUAAACAAACAUGACAUUCAAGCCUAUAUUCUUACCCACAUAUGCACUUCUAAACAAAAACUCAUAAAGCACCUUCCUCAUAUUCUCUAAUACUUCUAUCCAUAACAGCUUCCCUAUACUAUUCAGAUGAUACACACAAAAUAUUCUCAACUAACCGAGCCAUACAUGAAACUUCACCUCAAAAUUCUUUCAAACUUACAGACUUGGAGUCAAUCUUACUCCACAAUUACUGCCUUAUCUCAACUAAGCAUACAACCAUAUUUCCUUAAUAAGAAAUGUUUACUCUCUCCCAUCUAGACAAUUGUUCAUCAACACUAUCUCGACCUACGGGAAAGGUCACUGAAAAGUUGGAAUAUCGGGAUUCAGAACAUGAGGGGAUUACUAAGCAUAACUUGAUACCCUUUUGAGGCAUGAGAAAUAGAGCACUCAUGGCAUGGACUCAUUAAAGAGGUCUAAUCUGAGGAAGUACCCAACUGGGAACUCAUCAUACUAGAAGCUAGAAGAGUACAUGAUUCCCUAUCAUAUCCAUGAAUAUGAACUAUGAUCGUGGAGCUGAAACAUAAGUAUGAGUAUGUAUCGGAAUAAAUGAAGCAAACUGCUGAAAUAAGAAUACAUUAAGCAUCACUCUUCUCACGGCUAUUCCACCACUUACUGGCACAACAAUUAAAAUUUGAACGCUUAACUUGAUUACUCGUUCUAUCAUCUCCACCUUAGAUUCAAGCCAUCACUCUAAGUCGGUGAACCACUGUAUACACGCUGGUAUAACUGAAAUCACUCUACUCUAGAGUCUGGGAUAUACAAUACACAUAAAACUAAACUUACUUUGAAAGACAGUAUCUUCGUAUAUAAUACCCAAUACUAAUAUCUCCUUCCAAGAUUCAACCCUUAGGCUUCUAUAGCCCCAAAAGUCGUUAUAUAACAACUUAAACAUUCACCAACUUAGAUUCUAACACUAAACAUGGAUAUCAUCAACCUCCAACACAUCAUACUUCUUCCGUCAAAUUCUACCGGUAUCGCUUCUCAAAACCUUUAUCUCUCCCCUAAUCCAUGAGAACCAAAAUCAUACCUAAAAAGGCUCAACAUCCUUAAUCAUAACUCCAUAACUUAGCUAUCACGAACAUCACAUAUUAUUUAACUAGUCUUUCUCCACCUAGCAACUUAAUGGUACUACUAAUCCACACAACAUGCAAUGAUCCUCAAAAAUAACACAUCCCCAUAGCACCUUGGGCGUACUUCUACAUCAUACUUACAACACCAGACUUGAUUUUGAAUCAAAUAAACUUAAGAUCUUGUAUACACUAUUCAAGCCUACUAGGUUAUUUUCACACAACUAACAUCUACUACAUUAUUCAUUAUACCCACCUUGAUCACCAUCUACUAUUCCAACUUAGUGUUUAGUUCUAGCUACGAAGAACCAUAACUUUACACAAUAUUCUUACAUGCCAAACAUCUGAAAACAUUAACCAACCAAAACUUCAUAACAGUAAGGAUCAAUCACAAUCCUAUGAUCUAUCUUAUUUAAAACCCAUUAAUAUGUCCUCCUUCUACACAAUAUUACUAUCUACCCUGAUACAACUAAAAUUAGGGAAAAACUCUAUAAGUCUCAAUUAAGCUCCCUUUUAUAAUCUUAGGGGCAUCUAAUUCAAUGACACUCUUCCACCAAGUACCUUCAUCAAUAAACUACACCUUCCUUGCUCACAACAAACACCGUCAACAACUCUUUUCAUACUUCAAGCAAUCAACAAUUCACCUUAACUAAUAACUCCUUCUCUACCUUCUACUAAACUAAUAUACAAGGACGUAUCACUUCACUACUAACUCACUCUCAUGCAAAAAGAUUCAACUAUACAUAUAUUUAACCAACACCAGAACAAAAAACUACUAGUGAAUCAAAAUAGGCCUCACACGGCUUCACUAGACUUUGAUUUUUGUGUUUUGAACAAGAAAAAGAAGAUAAAUGACAAGGAAACUAUGCUAGUAGAUCGAAAGAGCCCCACACGACUUCAACAGACUUUGAUUUUUUUUUUACAGAAACACCAUGAUAACAAGAUUGCAUAGUAUAAGAGAUAGAAAAUUAACAUACGAUGUUCAAUGAUCUAGGAAUACACAUCUUACUCUGUAUAAAUAGAAAUUUGAGUCAAACACAUCCCCCACAGACUACCAUACAAUCCACACAUACUACUAGCUACCAUAUUAGUCUACCACUAUAGAGAGGUUAAUCAUCCUCAAACACCGGUUAUUCAAUUAAAAUAUUUAUUUACACAAAAGUCGCCCUCACUCUGACUUCUAACUCUGUGACUUCAUAUCACUAGCUUCUUGGUCUAAUCUUACUCCCAAUUGGUCAUGACACUGACACUUUAACUUAUACUACUAUUUGGGUGGAAAUGCAGUUCCAACAUUCUUCUACACAUUAUUCCCUCUGAAAUAUGACAUCUGUAACAUAAAUUUUGAAAAGGACCGAAUACUCUUAAUACUGCAGGCUGAAAAGCAUGAUUUUAUUAAGAUCAAGGUUCACACCAGAACCAAUACACUCUGAAGAAGUAAAGAACUCUUUCCAAGUCCUUGCAAAACUCUUAUAUGAUUCAAUCAGAAAGAACCAUACCAUUUAGACUCUAAACUUCUGUACUUGAAUUAUCCCAAUAAUGAGACAUAUAUGAGAAUAUCAGAGAAAGGAAAGAAUUGGGAUGACUGUUACUUUCGUAUUGGCGACACCAUAGCAUGAAUUAGAGUAUGAAAGAGGAACAUUCUGACUUUGUUGCAUGAACUAGAACAUGAAGAAAGAGAGACAUUCCUAAACGCCUUAUAGCCUCCUACUUAUAAGUGUGGUGCACUACACACCCAUAAACAAGACUCUACCCGACACGAUUUCACAGAAACCCUGGGAUCAUGAACAGUUCUCUGAUACAAAGUUUGUUACGACCUAAACUAGGGCCUGGCCAUGAUGGACAUCCCAAACCAUGAAGGAACGAAAUGCCCCUCUCUAUAUAGUAAUCAUGCAUAACAUUCAUAUAAUAAAAGAAGAUACGGAAACAUAAUCUGCUACGGAAACAUGGUCAAUUAUAAAUUCAAUAUAAGUAUGGAAACUGUAAACCAACUACAUAUGAAUAACAUCUGACUCAGUCUGCAAAAUCUCUACUAGAUGGAAAUCUAACAACUGUCUGAAACUGGGACAAGGCCCCUAGUAGACCAAAAUGAUAAUGAGUGACAUAAUAUGAAAGGACAGGCCUUCUGGAAUAGAGAAGGCUCACCACUACAUAAUCUGAUCAGCUGUCUGAAUUAUCUACUGCUUAUCUGGACCCCUAGACCGAACCUCAGAACCUGGAGAAAGGAGGGGGUUAAUAUAGAUGUACUAGUACGCAAAGCAUUCCAAAAUAAAGCUUUUAUAUAAAUAAAAUAAUGAAGAGCAAUUUGUCAAAACAUCAUACAUAAAAUAGUUUUCGAAACACAUGGGCACCUUUUUGAAAAUCAUAAAUCAUUCUUGACAAUGUAGUUCCUGUUCUUCAUUUUAAUUCUGAGCUAGGAGGUACACCCCUACAAUUCUAAAAUCCCACGGACUGUAUGGAAUCCGCCAUUGACUCGGCAGGGAAGCCCCCAACCCAAGUGUGCCGCAUGGGUUGGAGUUUCUAUUCUGAUAUGCCACACAACACUAGGCCAACAUAAUAUAAUAUACCCAGAUCAGAAAAUCAUGGUUUCGGGCAAUGAUUUGCCUGAACUCGUGCCUUCUUCGGGGAACCACUUAAGCUCUCUUUACGCCCAAUUUUAUCCUGUUCUAAAUCAUGCAUUUUUUUUCUAGUUUCAACAUCUGAAAAGUUUGAUUUCAAACGUGCAUUCUAUUCUAUUCUGAAUUACCAUGGCAUAAUCUAAAUUGGUGUCGUCACACCAAGACUUGCAAGUACUAUUUCUGAGCUAUAAUGUAUCAUGCAUAAUUCUUUUAAUAAAACACAGGUCAGACCACCCAAAUAUGCAAUUAGUAUAAGAGAUAUUAUGUUUCGAAACUCAAGUCAAAACUAUGUAAAAACUGUCAUCAAGCAUAUGGUGGUCAUGUAUUUCGGCAAGCAUGCAACUCUUUCAUUAAAUGAAUAUUCAACUUUUAUCAAUAUGUACAAAUCUCUCUUUCGAAUUCAAAACCAUAAAUCAAAUUGUAGCAUUAAUCAAGAUAUUUCAUAUCAUGCUUUUCAAGAUACAAAACAAUCCAUAUCAUAUGAAAAUUGAAAAAAUAAUAUCAAGAGAGGGAUUCAUGUGAGUCAUGCUCUCAAUUCAUUCAUAAAUCAUAAAACUUAUGCAUACGUAUAUAUAUGUAAUUUAAAUCCAUUUGGGGGAGGGCCUAAAGACCAAAACAACGUCAUCAAGACUUCUAAAACAUAUUUAUAUUCGUAAAUCCAAAACCCCUUUUCUUAAAACAUGAUUUCUAUGCCCAUGAUAUUUUUAGGAAAACCCCGCGUACGUUAAUACCGGAAGAUAAUAGGUAAUUCUUGAAGCUUACGGAUUGGGGAUUUCAAAUCUUUAAUCACUUUUGAAAAUUCACAGUUGAAUCUUGAGUUAUUUGGGUUUUUAUUUUGAUACCUUUGAGAGAUUUCUUGAGGAAAAUUGAGAGAAAUAAAAUUAUUUUGGUGUUAUGGGAGUUUAAUCCCGUGUUAGAUAUGAUAUGGGGUUGAAAACUAUCACAUUUACCCUUAAUAGGUUGGAAGAAAGCUGAAAAUUGACCCCAGGCUAUACCCAGGGUGGAGCCCUGCUUAGUCCACUGCUCUAUCCCAGGCGUAGCCCCCCUUUAGAGCACCGUUCUAGCUCGGGCGGUGCCCUGCUUAUAGCCUCUUUCUACUGGUCACGAAAAUGGCUGUAACUUCUCACUCCGGUAGCGAAUUUUUGUAAAAUUGCUAUAGUUGGAAAGCUAAUUCAAUUAUAUAAAAUUAGGUGGGUCUUGGGAUGAAAAUUUUCAUGUAUAUAAAGAGUCAUACACAUUUGAAGUAGACCCUUGUAGAAUCGAAUAUCAAAUUUUGGACGAAUCAAGUGAUCUUAGCUUAACUUUGUUCUAAGUCAUUGCUAUGAACAUUUUUCAACUCUAAACUACUUCAUAGAUUAGGAUAAUGAUAAUGAAACUUGUAUUCACAUUCAAAUCAUUUGGAUUAGAGCUUAGACGUAUAGGAACGAUGGUUUAAUUUCUAGUUCGAAAAUGCGGGGUGUUACAAACAUGCCCAGCUGACUCAUAAUGUCUAAAAAUAAUACUAAAAUAAACCUACUAAUGAAACUGAAAAUCUGAAAACUAAGUCCCCAAACUAUGAGGACUCACUAACUGCAAGGAUGUAGAUGAGAUACUCGAAAAUCACUGUCACUGCUGAGAUUGAGCACCUGAACUUACAUUAUGUGAUAUAUGUGGAUUAGUACUUAGAGGAUGUACUGAGUAUAUGGGGGUGCAUGUAAUAAAUAAACAAUUUCAUCAGAAUUUAUAAAUGGCCAAAAACAUCGAUAGGCACUCAAAGUUGUUGCCAAAAUUCACUUAGACACCUAAACUAAGGUUUGUUCCUAUCAGGCCCCUAAACCCCCCACAUUUUGUUCCAAUUGGGCCUUUUUUGCCCUAUUAGCAAAAAGCUCAAAGUGUGUAUUGCACACACGCGAUGAUGUGGCAAAAUGAGCUAAUUGGAAGCUGAUACGUGGCAUUGUGGGUCCAAUAAUUAUUAAAAAUUAAUUAUAACUUUUUUAAAAAAGUUAUAUAAAAAUGGCAUUGAGGAAAUUAUUAAAAAAUAAUUCUAAAAUUAUUUUAAUAAAAUUGUUUAUUUAAAAAAUAUUAUAAUGUCCUUAUAAUACAAAAAACAAAUUAUAGUUUCUAAAAAUCAGUUUUUAAAAAGAAAUAUUAUAAAAGUCAGUUUUUUUAAAAACUAUAAUAAUCAGUUUUUUAAAAACUAUAAAAUUUUAGUUUUACAAACUAUAAUUUUUGAUUAUUAAAAACUAUAAUAAUCAGUUUUUUGUAAAAUUAUAGUUUUUAAAAAACUUCAUUUUUUUGUAUUAUAGUUUUUAAUAAUCAAUUUUUAAAAAGAAAUUAAAAAAUAUUUUUAAAAAGAAAUUAUAAAAUUUUUAAAAAAUAAAAAUAAAAAAUGGCAUUGAGGAUCCAAAUUAUNNNNNNNNNNNNNNNNNNNNNNNNNNNNNNNNNNNNNNNNNNNNNNNNNNNNNNNNNNNNNNNNNNNNNNNNNNNNNNNNNNNNNNNNNNNNNNNNNNNNNNNNNNNNNNNNNNNNNNNNNNNNNNNNNNNNNNNNNNNNNNNNNNNNNNNNNNNNNNNNNNNNNNNNNNNNNNNNNNNNNNNNNNNNNNNNNNNNNNNNNNNNNNNNNNNNNNNNNNNNNNNNNNNNNNNNNNNNNCCCCCUCCCCCACCUCCGACGUUCCUUUUCUCCAUUAAACUUCUCUGUGAAUCUAAAAAAUACACACAUACAAUUAGAGUGUAGGGUUGGCUGGUCCGUUUAUGUUAUAAUUGCAUAAUUUUUAUCUUAUUGUCAUGGAAAAAGCUGUAUCUUCGGUCUUCUAACAAAUACUUCUGCUAUUCUUUUUACAGCCCUCCUAUCUGAUACUCUUGAAUGAAGAAUGAGGAUGGAUCUUGGGAUUCGUUUUUGAUGUUAUAUGAAUUUUUAUUCUGCUCCUGUGCUGGAUCUUUCAUUAAUUACUAUUGAUCUUCUAGGGGUGGGGUAGGGUUAAAGAUGAAGAGGGUGGGGUGGGGUGGGGUGUUGUGAAGAAGAUGACAUGUAAUUUAGUAAAACAAAAAUUCCUCACGCGCCUACAGCAAGUGCAUUGCACACGCAGUGCCAUGUAGGCAAAAAAUGCCCAAUUGAAACAAAAUGUGGGGGGGUUUAGGAGCCUGAUAGGAACAGGCCUUAGUUUAUGUGUCUAAGUGAAUUUUGGCAACAAGUUUGAGUGCCUAUCGAUGCCUUUGGCCUUUAUAAAUCAUGCAUGCUAAAUGUAAAUGACUCACAUAGCUCGAGUAAAUCUGAAAUACUGAAAUUUGAAAGAGUGGAUAAUAAAGAACAUAUUCUAAAUCUUGUGAGUUAUUACACUUAGUUCUAAAAAUUUGUAUUCUCUUCUUGUUCUCAAUUCAUGUAAACUUGAAGAAAUCUGAGACUCAUUUUGCAUAGCAAUUACUUUAUCUCAAUACUUUAAACAUUUAAACCGUUUUAAGAACGGGGGACGUUUUGGGAGGUUCUUCUAACCGACAUGUACAACAUAUGAGCAUCCAUGGUGUCCCACGACUAGCCCCUGUAAGGUUAGGGCUAUUCUGCCCUUACCAUCGAAAUAGAACAAUUUAUCUCAGUGAUCACUAUCUUUGUCAUCCACGUAUAGUGGGAAUAAAUAUCUCAACCUACGGUGAUACAUAGUUCAAGGGUAUGAAACCGUAGUAAUAUAACCAACUUGGCGCUUAAUUAUAACACCCCAAUUUUCUGAACCGAAAUGCUACAUGGUGCUCAUAACCCCGAAGGACCACAAGCUAACCCAUGAUUGAUAUCUGUACCUGUAUACUGCAUAAUAUAACAUGAAAAUACGGAAACAUGUACUGAAUGGCCAUAAGGUUCAAACCUAAAUAAAUAUCUGAUAAUAACAAUAUCUGAAAACGGUAUAACAAUAUCAAAAUAAAUCUGAAAUAACUGUCUGACAUAUUAUAGUCUGGAAAGCCUCUAAACUGUCUAAAUAAGGAGUUGAUGGGACAUGUCUCCAACUAACUACAACUACUGAAAUAAACUGAAGACUGAAAUAAUAAUGAAAUCAUCAUGUCCUCGAAAGAUGAGGACUUACUUCUAACUCUGACUGUUGUGACUGGAAUCUACUGCUGAUCUGGAGCUCGUGUCUCUGAACCUAUGGCGUAAAAUAAAAUGCCAUAGAAUAAAUACGUCAGUACGUCUGAAUGUACUGAGUAUAUGAGUGAGGUAGGCUAAAUGCAAAGGGUUAUAUGCAUGAACAAUGCUGACUAAUAUGAGCGUGAUAAUACAUACAUACAUAAGCAACUAUAACUGAACUCGUGGUGAUAUUGACUACAGAAUCUGAAUACUGACGACAUGACUUUGCUGAUACUGAGGUACUGAAUAGAUAAACGACUAUUUUUGACAGUUUAAAUUAAGAAAAAAUGGUCUGAUCGACUGUGUCUAACAAUCCUGAACUGAAUACUGAUAACGUAUCUAUGAUGACUGAUAUAACUGAUAUAACUAUGAUGAUUGGCGUAACCGAUAUAACUGAUAUUGAGCGACUGUAUCUGACAGUCUAAGUUCAGAUGGAACUAUCUGAGUUCCAUUUUGUAUGGAGUAACUAAAUCUGAGAUCAGUCCUAUCUAGUGGGUGAUCUUUAAGUAUACUGAUAAUAAAGAUGAUUUGACUUAGUCUGAUAUCAGUCCUAUCUAGCAAGUGAUCUUUAAAUCUGAUGAUUCUGAUACUGAUUAACCAUAGUUGAGAUCAGUCCUAUCUAAUGGGUAUUCUUGAAGACUAUUUAUAAUGAUAAGUAUUGACUGUAUCUAACAGUACUGAAUCUGUACUACUGAGCUGAGUUGACUGUGUCUGACAGUCAUGAAUCUGUAACUAAAAUGGUAGGAUGUAUUCAUCUAACCGAAAUGCCCCAUGCUAAGCUGACUGAGGUCCAAUCUCUUCCCUGACUGGAAGGGUGUUAGUACUGCGCCACCAGUAAAGACAACUACUGUAGAGUCAGUCCUAAUUUAGUGGGUGACCCCUGGUACCAGUCCUAUAUAUAUAAAUAUGAUGACGGGUGAUCCCUGAGUAUGUCAGUACUAUUUAAUGGGUUACAUCUCGUACCUACACUGGCUCUGUAGUUUUGGAACUUAGGGAUCUCAGUCCUAUUCUAGGGGGUGAGCCCCCAUCCGUAGGUUCGCUCGGUGCUGAAUCCUACUCCCAUAUGAAAGGUACUGAAUUGAUUAACUGAACUAAUACUAGUGUUAUUGUUUACCGAAGUGAAACUGAGUUUACUGAGUUCCUUUGACUGACGGAACAUACUGAGUUCUGAUUGCUAACUGAGUUCAUGAGAUUACUGAUCUUACUGAGUACUAUUUUAUGAGAUUUCUGAGAGUACUAAAUUAUGGAUAUUACUGAAGUUUACUUAGUACUGAGAUUACUGAAAUUAACCGAGGUUACUGAACUGGUGAGACUACUGAGAUUUCUGAGUUUUCCUGAGUCACAUGACUGAUUGAAUUCUAUAGAUCAUGGCUUGACUGAGAUUAUCGUGAUAACAUGACAUGGCUCUAGGCACACAACUAUAUUUUUUGGGUACGAGUACCCCCAGGACUCGAUGGAAGGAAACUGACAAGACUUGACAAUUCUUGAAUACAUAAUCAAGAUCAACAAUUCAUAACACACUAACUUGGGGAUUUCAUACAACACAUGGUUAUCAUAUUCUUGUUCAUGAAUAAGAAUGCAAACAUUCAUAGCAUAAUUCCAUACUUUAACAUCAUGAACAUUCUAUCAACAUAUGCAUGUCACAACAAUAACAUGGGAACCAUUUAAGCAUGAGAGAGUAGUAUGGAUUUAUCAUGUAGGUCAUACUUUAGCUAUUAUUCAUGAAUUCUAGGAUCUUAGGCCUUUUAUCAAACACCUUUCAUGCACACUUUAUGGCAUAGGCAUAUUCAUCACAUUAAUGAUUCAAACUAACUAAAAUUCAUAUAUUUCAAUUUACAUGUCAUCCUAGUUUCAUAAAAUCACAUAAAUAUUCUAACUUGGGAGUUCUAUAGCAAUCAAUCACACAAACAUAAUAAAACCACAACAUGACUUCAUGAUUCAUAAUUUAAAAGAGGGUUCUUGAACUCAAUGGAUGAAAGGGAUCCAUAAAUCAACACUAUGCAUACCUUAGUUCUUGAUUUAGUGAAGAUUGAUGGAGAGAUUCUUGGAAUUUGAUGGUAUAAUUUGCUUGAACUUGAAUCCCCUAAUUGAAACCCUAGCUUGCUCUUGAGAGGAUUUUAAGACAAGAGGUUAAAUUUUGGUGUAAUGGAGGCUUAAUCCCAUGUUAUUGAGUAUAUAUAUGAAGGCAAAAUGAUCAAAAUACCCCUAAGAGCACAGAAAUGGAAUGCUGAAAUACUGGGCAAGCACUGGAGUUCACAGGCGGUGCCUGGCUAAUCCCGGGGGACUUUCCCAAGCGGCUCCUGCCUUAGAGCAGUGCUCUAGCUGGGGCGACGCAGGCCAAUUGCCCCGAGCUACUAUUUUUGAAAUCCAAACACGCCCUUACGCUAUCCAAAAAAUUCCAAAAUUUACCUGAGAUGUACUACAACCUUGCCCCAUCGUAACAUAACUUGAAAAUCUAAAAAAGAAGGUCGAGAAGGUCAUCAAAUAAAUUCCCGAAGUUUGGAGGUCUAACGUGAUACUAAGUGUUGAAUCUUGAACACUUAGCAAAAUUUUCUAAGUCCUGGAGCUUGGAAAGCUUAAUGAGCUGAACUUUAGACUUAGGAUUUUACGGGGUAUUACAAUAUCUCCCCCUUGGGAAUAUUCAUCCUCGAAUGAGUCUGACUGAGAGGAAAAACAAUAAGCUGAACAUGAAUGACUAAAAUAUGAUCUCAUGACUAACAUGACAAAUAAACUGAUUCAUACUAAACAUGCAUAUCUGAUGCAUGGGUAACUUAUUAGUGAAUGUAGGACUGAGGAUUUUGAUAAACUGAAUUUUCUCAAAAUGAGAAUGCAUAUCUAAUGUAUAAUUGGAAAGCUGAAUCCAUGCAUAUCUGAUGCAUGAUUACAUGAUUGACAUAACUGAUAAACUGAUCACGCAUAUCUGAUGCGUGAAUACAUGACUGAACUAACUCAUGAACGUGCGACUGAACAUGCAAUGGUAAAGGCACUAAGAUUGAACUGAAAUAUGAGAAAAUGACUGAGUUUGCUACAUGACAUAUGGAUUGAACAUCAUGAACUGAACUGAACCUUUGAAUACUUGACUUACAGCUGAGGUUUUGACUUAAGGGUCAACUUAUGAGUCCCCUCUAUUCUAAAUUGAAUUUGUUAUGCAAUGAGAAACUGAAGGAUCUAAGACAUAAGAGCAUUAAGAAAAGGUGGGGUAUCUCCCCCUUGGGAUGCUAUGUCCCUCUAAAAAUGCUUACCUUACGGAGAUAUUGGGGUGAUGCACAGGGCAUCUAUGAACUAAUUUAUAACUAAACCUCGGGAGUCUGGAACUAAUGCCUGAUGCCUGAGCUGAACUGAACUUGCUGGUUUUACUAACUAACUCAUGCUGAAACAUAUGCUCAAAUAAGAGAAAAAUAUCUAACAAUGCAUACCAUGAACAUGAAAGACUUGUAACAUACCCGAAUCUAGGUCAGGAAAACUUUUCGGAUCAUGACGGGUCUGGAGAGCAUAAAGUCUAUUCUGACGCUGACCACUCUUUGUACCUUGCUGACGCAACUCUUUACCCCUCUGUGCUAGAAGUCUAUACUCUCGCAUCCUGUGGCCUAUAUUGCCACACCCAAAGCAUAAAUUACUGCCUGCUCUACAUGCACUUAGAUGAUUCUUACACACUCUUCGCAAGGAGGAUAGGUAAGACUUCUAUUUUUACUACCCUGGGUCUCGGAGCCUGGCACCCUAUCAUGACAGUCAUUUUUGGAGUUAGGUACUGGUGUACAAGUUGAGGAUGGAGCUGGGACUGAAAACUUCUGACCAUGCUAAGAAUGGUUACCACCCUGUGACUUAGGCUGAGCAAAGAUGAAACUACCUAUCCUUGGUCUCUUACUCUAUCUCUCUCUCAUCCUAAUCUUCUACUCCUCUAUCUUCUGAGCAUGAGUCAUAAUUUUGGAUAAAGUCAUAUCACUAUUCAACAUGGCAGAUCUGCACUCGUUUACCAUAUUAUCAUUUACCCCUGACACGAACUUACUCAUCUUGGCUCUACAGUCUGCAACUACAUGAGGGGCAUAUUUGGAUAAUUGAGUAAACCUGAGAGAAUACUCUUUCACCGUCAUAUGGCCCUGCCUGAGGUUGAUGAACUCUAGAACCUUAGCUUCUCUAAACUCUAGCUGAAAAAAUCUAUCACCAAAAGCAGAGGCAAACUCCUCCCACUAUAUAAAACCUGCAUCAUCUAACCUUUCUGACUUCCACUGUUUGUCCCAAGUAUGAGCCAUAUCCUGAAACUGAUAUGCGGCUAACUCAGGGUAUUAAAAUAUCUCCCCCUUGAGAACAUUCAUCCUCGAAUGAGAGGGAAACAAUAAGCUGAACAUAAACUAAACAUGAGUAACUAGAACAUGAUCUCAUGACUAACUUGAUUGACAAGCUGAACAUAUAAUACUGAACAUGCAUAUCUAAUGCAUGUGUACUGAUUCAUGAAUGCAUGACUGAGUAUUCUGAGGAACUAAGUUUUCUCGCAAUGAGAAUGCAUGUUUGGUGCAUAAUCAUAUAACUGGACUGAUACAAGUAUGCAUGACUAAAUAUGCAAAGGUACUUGAUACCAAGUUUAUAAUGGGAACAUGAGUAUGAAACUGAUACCAAUUUUGUGAUGAACACAGAACAUGAAACUGAGUAAGCUUAAGGAGAAUUGUUACCUUGAGCUUGAUCUUAGUUUACGGAGAAGAGGUGAGGAUACUUGGUAUGCAUGUCUGCUUCUGUUUCCCAAGUAGCUUGCUCAAUGGACUGAUUUCACCAAAGAACUUUAACUAGAGGGACUUCUUUGUUCCUCAAUCUAUGAGUCUGAUAGUCUAGGAUUUCGACUGGAAUCUUCUCGUAAGAGAGGCUACUCUGAACAUCUAUGCUCUGAAAAGGGAAUACAAUUGAUGGGUCACCUAUGCACUUCUUGAGCAAAGAGACAUGGAAGACUGGAUGAAUUGAGGCUAGAUCUGAAGGCAACUCGAGCUCAUAAGCUACUUUGCUAAAGCGACUGAGAAUUUUGAAGGGAUUGGCAUAUCGGGGACUGAGCUUUCCCUUCUUCCAAACCUCUUCACUCCCUUCAUGGGAGAGAUCUUGAGGUAGACAUAAUCACCAAUCUCAAACUCGAGAUCCUUUCUACGAACAUCUGCAUAAGACUUCUAUCGGCUCUGAGAAGCCUGGAGUCUUUCUCUAAUUAACUGGAAGUUUUCUAAGGCAUCGAAUACUAAGUUAGGCCUUAUAACUGAGGCCUCACUAACUUCGAACCAACCAAUUGGAGAUCUAUAUCUCCUACCAUAGAGAACUUUGAAUGGAGACAUCUUAAUACUGGAAUGAUAGCUGUUGUUGUAUGCAAACUCAAUCAAAGGCAAGUGGUCAUCCCAACUACCCUUGAAAUCAAUUUCACAUGCUCUUAGCAUAUUUUCUAGAGUCUGAAUGGUCCUUUCUGCUUAAACAUCUAUCUGAGGAUGAAAGGCUGUACUGAGAUGGACUUGGGUACCAAGACCCUUUUGGAAUACUUUCCAGAAAUAAGAGGUGAACUGGGUACCUCUGUCUGGGAUAAUAGAGAACGGAACGCCGUGCAAUCUGACCAACUCUUUGAUGUAGAGUUUGGCGUAGUCCUCGGCUGAGUAAGAGGUAUGAACUGGAAGAAAAUACUCUAUUUGGUCAUUCUAUCUAUAAUGACCCAUACUGAAUCAUGCUGAUGAUGAGUUCGAGGCAAACUCUUCACGAAGUCCAUGUUCACUUCUUCCCACUUCCAAGUAGGAAUAAUGAACUCCUACAUAGGACUACUAGGCUUUUGAUGCUCUGUCUUAGCCUGCUGACAUGUGGAGCACUUAGACACAAACUUUGCAAUAUCUCUCUUCAUCCUACUACACCAAUAGACCUCCCAUAAGUCGCGGUACAUCUUUGAGGCCCUUGGAUGAAUGGAGUAGUGCACACCAUGCUUUUCUGCAAGAAUUCGCUGCCUUAAGUCAUCUAAAUCUGGAACUCUUUCAACUUGGCAAGGCCGGGAUCACUAUCUUACUUUUCUUUUACCUCGAAAACUAGAGAUGAUUCUGAACUACUCUGAACACAAAUGCCACCCUCUGAGGAAUCGACUAAGGGAAUGCCUAGUCUGGCAAGAUGAUGGACUUCUUGAGCUAACUUCUUCUUACUAUCUUUAACAUGAGAAACACUACCCAUAGAGAGUCUACUGCGAGCGUCGGCCACUACGUUGUCCUUGCCUAGAUGAUAAAGGACACUCAUGUCAUAAUCUUUCAAGAGCUCUAGCCACCUUUUCAGACGAAGAUUGAGAUAUUUCUCAGAAAAAAUAUACUGGAGACUCUUAUGAUCAGUGAAGACACCUAUAUGAACUCCGUAGAGAUAGUGACUCCAAAUCUUUAAGGAAAAUACUAUGGCUGAUAACUCAAGAUCAUGAGUAGGAUAAUUCUUCUCAUAGGGUUUAAGCUGUCUGGAAGCAUAGGAUAUGACCUUAUCAUGUUGCAUGAGUACACAACCCAAACCUACUCUGGAUGCAUCACAAUACACUAUGAACCCAUCUGAACCAUCUGGAAGAGCUAAAACUGGAGCUGAGAUGAGUCGAGUCUUCAACACUUGAAAAAUCUUAUCACAAGGAUAUGACCACUGAAGCUUGACUUUCUUCUGAGUCAAUCUGGACAUAGGGGAGCAACAGAAAAAAUCCCUUAACAAACCAUCUGUAAUAGCUAGCCAAACCUAAAAAACUCCUGAUAUCUGAUGGAGAGACAGGGUGAGGCCAGUUUCUUACUGCUUCAAUAUUUUGAGGAUCUACACUAAUGCCAUUAUCGGAAAUGAUAUUGCCAAUAAAUGCUACUGGCCUUAGACAAAAUUUGCAUUUAUUGAAUUUGGCAAAUAGCUGAUGAUCUCUGAGAGUCUGAAGUACUGUUCUGAGAUGGUUUUCAUGAUCGCGCUCAGUGUAGGAAUAGACCAAAAUAUCAUCUAUGAAGACUAUGAAGAACAUAUCCAAUUACUGAUUGAAUACAUGGUUUAUCAAUUCCAUGAAAGCAGAUGGGGCAUUGGUAAGACCAAAGGAUAUAACUAAGAAUUCGAAGUGACCAUCUAGAAGAUCUGCUAGCUGCUCUUUCAACUCUUUCAGCUCCACAGGAGCCAUCCUAUAUGGCGGAAUAGAGUUGGGACGGGUGUCCAGCAACAAAUCUAUACCAAACUCUAUCUCCCUAUCAGGUGGUACCCCUGGGAGAUCUUCGGGAAAGUCCUCCAAAAAUUCUUUUACCACAGGGACUGACUGAAGAGAUGGACUCUCCACAUUAGAAUCUUUCAAUCAGAUCAGAUGAUAUAGAAAACCUCUGGAAAUGAGCUUACGAGCUCUAAGAUAAGAUAUAAAAUUCCCUCUAGGUGCUAGAGAAUGUCCCUUCCACUCUACCACUGGUUUAUUUGGGAAGGCAAAAGUGACUCUUCGGGUCCUACAAUCUAAUGUAGCAUAACAUAAAUGGAGCCAGUCACUAGGAUAGCAUCAAAGUCAACCAUCUCAAGAUAUAUGAGGUCUACCACAGUAUCUCGGCUAUAGAUGGAUACAAUAUAAUUUCUAUACACCUGUCUAGCUAUAAUAGAAUCUCCCACUGGAGUGAAAACAGAAAAAGGCUCAGCAAUUACAUCGGGCUUAAACCCAAAACCAAUAGUCGUAUAAGGGUUUACAUAGGACAAGGUAGAUCCAAGACUAAGUAAUACAUAUACAUCACGAGAAAAGAUUUACAACGUACUGGUAACUAUAUCUGGGGAAGAUUCUACAUCCUGACGAUUGGUCAAGGCAUACAACCAGUUGCGUCCUCUCUCUGUAGCUGAAGUGGUGCCUUUAGGAACAGGAUCUAUGGAGGCGGCUUGGGACUUAUCUCCCCUUGCAUUACCUCUAGUAGAAGGGUAAUCUCUCUGAAUAUGACCUACUUAACCACAGGAAUAACAAUUCCUCCUCUCAAAGUAACACUUUCCAGGGUGGUUCUUCCCGCAAACACUACAACGGGGAAAAGAUCUUACGAGUUGCGUCAUGCUGCCCCAAGAAUGGGUGUCCUACAUCCUCCACCCACUAUUUACCUGUGUAUUUAAGGGUUGCUGACCACGUGGAGGUCUGGGCAUGGGGGCACUUCCUGCAGGAUGAGAAUUACCCCAAUUCUUUCUCUUCUGACAUCUGUUACUCCAAUUACCACUCUGCAACUGGUUGUGACUUUGGUCUGCUAUCUUGCUCUUUUGCUCUCUUUUCCUACCUGUCCUUUUCCCUUGAUUCAGAGAUUCUCUGCUUAUGCUCCUCUAACUGCUGCAUGUGGAUUGUCAGUUUAGAGAAGUCCACAUCCUUAUUUAGCAUUAACCCCUUACACUCAAGCACUAAGUUAUCUGAAAGGCCAGAUGCAAACUUUCUCAUUUAGGCUCUCAUAUUUCCAGUCAUUUCCAGAGCAUAUCGGUCUAGUUGGUUGAACUUCUGAGUGUAUUCCUUGACACUUAUUUUUCCUUGCUUUAGAUUCUUGAACUCUUCUACUUUGGUCUCCCUCAACUCUAGAGGAAAGAACCUAUCAAGGAAGGCUUCCACGAACUUGUCUCAUACUGUGGGCUCAGCAUUCUCACCCUUCAAAUCCUCCCACUCAUUAUACUACUAAUUUACAACUUCUUUAAGCUGAUAAGUUGCUUACUCCACCCCUUCCACCUCGUCUAUAUGCAUCACUUUAAAAAAUUUCUCCAUCUUAUCCACAAAUUCCUGUAGAUCCACCUCUACUUUGGUGCCAGUAAACUUGGGCGGGUUCAUUCUCAUGAACUGACCCACCCUAGUAGUCUCAGAUAUAAUGAAUGUAGACCCAAUAUAUUAUGAUCGUUUAGUCUGUAUGACCACCAAUUACGCCAGCAUGUGAAUGGACUCUCUGAAUUCUGCAUUAGAAAUGUCCCUCUGGGAAGACUUGGGACGGUUAACAUUUGUUCUUGGAGCCUGAGGAGGACUGGUCAGGACUGGUGGUAUUCUUGGAGUAGGGACAGGUUCUGGGGUGUGAGCUAUGUUAUGGUUCUGUAUCCCAUGAGUGGGAAGGACCUCAUCAGUCUAAGCGUUCUGAUUGUUAGAGAGACGAGGAGGCAUGGCUAUUUUCUGACAUGCAAAAGAUCAUUGAUUAGAGGACAGAUUAGACUCCAAAGCACGAACUGAAUCACAAAGAGGGAAACAUUCCUAAACGCCUAGUAGCCUCCUGCUUAUAAGGGUGGGGCACUACACACUCAUAAAUAAGACUCUACCCAAUGCAAUUUCGCAGACAACUUGGACCAUAAACCGUUCUUUGAUACCAAGUUUUUCAUGACCCAAACCGGGGCCCUAGCCAUGAAGAGCAUCCCAAACCAUAAAGGAUCAGAUGCCAUUCUAACUUGUAAUCACAUACACUGCUCAUAUACAAAAGACAAUGCAGAAAUAUAUAUAUACUGAAAUGGGAACAUGAUCAUAAGUCUGAAAUAAAUUUAACAAUAGAGUAUGUCAUCCAAUACUAACAAAUAGUAUCUAAAAAUCGUCUGCAAAAUCUCUACUACAUGGUCAAUAACAACUAUCUGAAAACUUGAACAAGGCCCCAGUAGACCAAAAACCAUAACAAAUGAUAAAUGUCUAGAAAUAAUCAGGCCUUCUGAAUUAUAGAAGGCCCACCAACUGGACUCUGCGCUUCUGCCUAACAGAAUCUACUUCUUAUCAGGACCCCUGGAUUGUUCCUUAGAACCUGAGAAGGAGGGGGGUCAAUACAGAUGUACUGAUACGCAGAGUAAUCCAAAAACAAAAUAUAAUCUUUAUAUAACAUAUAUGAGAGCUGGUAUAAAAUACUUUAUCACAAAACAAUUUAAAAACACAUGGGCAUAGUAUAAUGAUUUUUCAAUGACAAUGCAAUACUACUGAGCUAGGUGGUACACCCAACAACUUUAUAUUUUCACCAACUGCCAAAUCUCGAUUGCCGCCCAGAUUAGAAUAUGAGUGAGGGAAGGACACAAAAGAUCAGACAAUAGGGUGCCAUACCCCAAUUAAGUCAAUAUGUCGUGGUUGGGCUCAAGAUCACAAAGCAGGGAUCCUAACCAUUGGUCCCAAUUUGGGAUGACAUAAUAGUAGGUACGCAAGAUCACAUAGAAGGGUACCAAAUUCCCGUGUCGGCAAUCACGAUUUCCAUCAUAGAUUCAUUUGACUAGUGCUUUCUUUGGGUAACCACCUAACUCACAUAAAAAUAAGCUUUAAGCUUGAUUCAAGACAAAGCAUACAUCUUACUCUACAGGGUAUCGUCAUACCCUGACUUGCAAGUCAUCGGUACCACAUCAAUUCAUCAUCUCGUUAUGUAAUUCAUGGUAUGCACACACAUAAUACUUCCACACCUCAAACACAUGAACAAUGGUUCUCAACAUGUAAUAAUUCAAGAAAUUUUUAUCAUUUAUAAAGUAGUAUCAUAGUAGUUACAAAACCCAUUAUCAUGGGAAUAAACAUUAUCAUGGGGAAAUUUAAAGAGUUCACAAUUUAUAUUCAUCACAUCCUUUUUAAUUCAAUUCGCAUGUCCACAAAUUCAACACAUUGAGAUAUAUGGCAAACAAUCCCAUGAUAUUUCAAUAUUCCUUUCAAAAUCAUAUCUCAAAACAUGUUAUUGGCAUUAAAACGAAAACCCCACUUGUAAUAACAUAUAUAUACUUGUAUGAAUAUUAAAGUCUUGUGUAAAUUCUUUUCAAUAUCAUGCCAAUGAGAUUUAGGACAACCCCACGUACCUCAAUAUAGGCAUUCAAUGGAUGCUUCUUAAAGCCUAUGAUUUGGGAAUUCCGAAUCUUUGAUCAAUUUCUGAAAUUCACGGUUGAAUCUCGAGUUAUAAAGAAUUUUUUUGUUUGAAACCCUAAGGGUAUUCUUUAAUGGAUUUUGAUGAAAAAAUGAAUAGAGCGGUCUUUUGGGAUAAAAAUCUCAUGUUUGGGCACAUUAGAAUGAGGGAAAAUUAUCCAAUUGCCCCUUUAAGAUGUAAAUUUUAAAAUCUGAAAUAAUUGGGAACCGAUGUGAUUGGGGACGCGGUGCGUCGAUGCCAUCGAUGCUAUACCCGACUCGUUAUGCCUUAAUCGCGCCAAGCCUCAAUACUUUUUGCCUGGAAUUUCCUGCACGAAAUUGACCAACGCGAUGGGCAAUGCAGCGCGCUGAGAUCGAGUUGGUCCAGUAUUUUGGUACACCAAACAAGGUCUAAACAUGGUCCGAAAAAUCUAAAACUUGUUCGAAAACACCCAUUGACCUCCCGGAUCAUGAAUUUGCUAAAAUACCAAGUAUAGAGGGUCGGUAAGGUCGAAAAUAAGAUCAUCGAAGAUUAGAAGCUCAAAAUAAUUCUAAAUCCUUUUUACACUUAGAAAAAUUUUCAAGUCUUUAACUCUUUAAGCAUACUACUAGGAGCUAAUACAUGCACGAUUUUUUCAAGGUGUUACAGAAUGAAAAUCCAAACAAAGUGUAUUCAAUUUAAAAAUAUAUUUUUAGGCUUUGUUGUAUCCUGAUAGAGAAUUGCUUGUAAUUCAUAAAGAAAAUACGGGCAAUAACUCUUGUCAUUUUCUUGAUAUUCAUGUUAUCACAAAGUGUCACGAUUUGUGAUACAUAAUUUGUAACUUUUGAAUGGUUACUUGGCACAAUUAAGUAGUUGUAUUGCUGCCUUCUGUAGUUAUUUUUAAGUCCCAACUGCUAAAUAAAUAUGGAUGUAGACUUCCCUAAGUUUCUAUUAGUUGAAUGCAUGUAGGGAAAUGAAUAUAUAAAUGGUUUUAGGGGUUCGUGAUUUUGUAUCUAUUGUCAUUCAUGGCUUAGGGUGUGUUUGAUAUGAAGAAAAAUACUUUUCACUAAAAAUAAGUGUGUUUAUUACUUAUUUUUUAAAAUAAGCAGAAAAUAUUGGUUGAAAAAUAUUUUAUAUAAUUUAUACAAUUACCAUGGAGAGGAGUGGGGAUAGGAGUGUGGGGAUGCUUAGAGAUGGAGGCUGGAUGUGUUGGAGAAUGAAGAGAAAAUAAUUAAUAUGGAAUACCACUUAUAUAACUUGCUCUUGUACUUCUGCGAGAGAGGUUACUUUUCUCAUUUUAAGGAACUUAUUUUUCUAGAGAAAAAUAUAAUCGACCAAAUAUAGGAAAAUUGAAAAAUGUAAAGUGAAAAAUAUUUUUCUCUAUGCCUAGAUAGCCUUAGGGGACUUUUGGUAGAGUAUAUAAGAAUAAGGCAUAAUAUAGUGUAUUAGUAAUGCUUGUACUAGUUGUACUUGCAUUAGUUAUAUUGAUAUUGUUUCUUAUACAUUGUUUGGUUUGAUGUAUUAAAAAUAAUAUCUUACAGAAUUCCUACAAAAAUGUUUGUUUACAAAAAUAUCCUUCUUUGACAUUGUACACUUUCUUUGCAACAAAGUUCUUUUGCCAUCUUAAACAUAAUUAGUAUUGUUGAACUAAUAUAUAGAGGUGUAGGAUUACUUGCAAGACCUUCAUCUUUGCGCAUGAAAUGUUAUGUUGAUGGAUUAACAUAGUCGAAACGAAAAAAAUACAAGAUGUAGAAUCAAUGAAUAGUCUCAUGAAAUUUAUUUUUAAUCUUUUUAUAGACCCUUGAAGCAAAAAAAGGAUAUAUUAUAGUUAUUUAAACCAGCUAUCAUAAGCAUAAUCCAUACAUAAUUCAACAUGCUGAAGAAAUAGUGAAAUUCAACUUUAUCUUAUGAUCAGAAUAACCUGGUAUAUCCCCCAAUCCAAGUUUUCCACAAGGAUUGGAGUUUUCAUAACUUGUUAUAUCCCCCAGUGAGUAUACCGUAGGCAUCCCUUUAUGUGAGAUGUCCUAAUUAUACUCCCAUGUAAGGUAACAUAUCAUAAAUUUCUCAUCGGCAAAACACAAUUUUCGACAAUGAGUUAUCUGAAUUUGUUCCUUCUUCGGGUAACCAUCUAACUUUCUUAGAGCCCAUUUAUAGUCUUUUAAAACAUGCAUAUUUCCCAAAACAUGGUCUGAAGUCUGAAAAAUUCUGUAGUCUAUCAUGACAUUUAUCUGAUUUAGUAUUGUCAUACCAAAACUUGUAAGUCAUAUAAGUUGUAUCAUAUCAUAUUAUGUCAUGUCUUCAGCCCUUUAUUUAAAAGCAUGCUAUUUGAGCAAAUAAAUGAUGAGUUCUUAUUUCAAAAGAACAUGAAAACUUAUGCAAAAUACUAUGCUUUCAAGACUUUAACAUCGGUUGGCCAUCAUUUUCAUAAAUCACAUGCAAUUAUUUUAUUUAACACAAAAGGGCAUUUGUCAAUACGAAACACCUCUUGAAAAAAUAUAAAAGGACAAGGCAUAUUUGAUAAAGAUUCGUUUAAAAGUCAUGUUUCUCAUCGUUCAUUAAACAACCCCCAACAAUAGAAUAAAUAAAUCUCAUGAUCGAAAAAGGGAGUCUAUUAGUUCAUGCUCUCAAAUUCACUUCAAAACCCAUAAUACAUGCACAUAUUUCGUUAUUAUUUAGGAGCCACAAAAUUUUUUAAAUACAUGAAUCUUAUAAAUAGUUCAAAUACUUCAAAACUCUUAACAUAUGCACAUAAUCAAAGUCUCAAACUUGAAGAAAAUCCCAUAAUAAAUGCAUAAUUCCAUCUUAAGGUUGAGGUUUCGAAAUUCAUGUUUUUUAAAUCAACUUCAAAGCCUUAACUUACAUACAUACAUAAUAAGGAUUAUUAAAAUCAACAUACUUAUGCCAAUAAAUUUUAGGAUAGUUCUACAUAUCUUUGAGGGAGAAAAAUUAAAUAAUAACCUUGAAUUUGAAAUCUACAAGCUUUAGCAUUGAGAAACCCCUUCUUGAUGAUAUUGGGAGGAAGAGAAUAAGGAUUUGGAAGAAACCCUAGCUUCUUUCUUGAGAAAUGAGAAGAGAAUGAGCGUUUUAAUCUGAUUAUUAAUGAGUAAUAAUUCUUAUUGGAAGAUUUAAAUCAAGCGGGAGGAGUUUGUGGUGGGAAAAAAUCCAAAUACCCCCUUGAAAACUUUAUAACAGUGCAAAACGGUUCCUACUGAUGGUUUGGGUAACGGAUCAUCACUCCCGUGAUAGGCUGUCACUCCAGCCGUCCCAAAUUGACAAAUUUUCUCUCUAUUUGCUUAAGGGCGGCUGUCUGGUGCGACGGGCCAUCACCCUAGCCGUCGCGCCUUGGAAGACAAACACCUUUUGAUAAAUCAUGCAUAACUUUUUAUUACGAUAUCAAAUUAAAGCAAAACCGAUGGCGUUGGAAAGAAGACUCGAAGACCUCUCAUUUGAUAUACAGGAUGCCACCCUAACUCAUUAUAUUUUAGGAGUAAUAUUUGUUGGAAUUUGACCCAAGUUGGAACAUUUCCUAAAACUCAAUCAAUAGAAAAAUUCUCAACUCAACUUUGAGUUUGGAGAUUUUUAUGAUCUCAAUUUAUCUGUAAAUAUGUUCCCUCACUAAAGAAUUGAUCCUCACACUUAUAUGGACACAAAACCAUUAGGUUCGGAUCUAUAUAUGUAGGAAUGAAGGUUCGAAUUCUAACCCGAAAAUGUGAGGUGUCACACAAACGACCCCUUAAUCUAAAUGCCCUAUCAAGUAUUUUAGUCACUUAAACAUGGAAAAUUGCACGUAAGAUUAGAAGCUGUGGAAUCAUACCCUAUCAUCCAUAGUGUAAUAAGAAAAAAGAAAAAGGAAAACUUUACACCUUGUUUGGAUUGUUAUUACAAAUACGACAUUUGCUUAGAUUGCUAUUUAAGAUAUAUUAUAUCGUAUUGUUAAAUCCAUCGUGCAUAACAAUGAAAAGCCCCAUUGUGUGUGUUAGCCUUAUACUACGUUGCAACAUUCUUUUGGACAUUUUUCAAUAGUUUUGUGCAAAUUAUGCACUCCAAAGUCUACCAUUUACCUAGCAUGAAUUUCGUUUAAUCCAUAAAAACGUAGAAUCCCAUGAGACCACCCUUUAAUUUUUGUUUACCAUACAAAUUUUUAUGUGCCACACAUUUAACUAAACAAUAGCUUUUAUCUCUUCCAUCCAUUAUUUCAGCAUCUUAAUUUAAGCAAAACCAUACAAACACACAUGAUUCUUAAUCUAUUCACACCUAUAAAUAAUCCUCCUUUUCAUUCUUCAUUUCUCAUAAUCACAAUUUGUUUUUAACAAAAGUAAAAAGAAUGGAGGUGUCUAACAAGAAAAUAACAUCUCCAUUCUUUGCUUUCUUGUUUAUUUCUUCUCUUCUUAUUCAAUGUUUUCCGUGUGUUUCAUCAAAACCAAUUCCUGGAGGAAAAUACAAUAAGCCGGUCCCAAACCCAGGCCCCAUAAAUCCGGUCCCAAAUCCAGGCCAACCACUUCCAAAUCCUACAACACCGGGGGGCAAAAAAUUUUGCGUACCCAAACCUGAGGCUACAGAUAAAAAAUUGACGGCUUGUAUAAAAUGGGUUUGCAAAGAGGGAGGUGUGGAUUGUGGCCCAAUUAAUCCUGGAGGUGCAUGUUCUCAGCCCAAUACUCUUAGGUCUCGUGCAACCUGGGCCAUGAAUGCUUACUUUCAAAUGAAGGGUAAAACUGACAGUAUGUGUGGUUUUUCGGGCACUGGUGUCGUCUCUUCCAUUGAUCCAAGUAAGUAUUCAACAUUUUUUUGAUCAGUGUAAAGAAUUUUGUAUAUUAUUAAAUCACUUUGAAGAUGAAGAAUUUUUGCGAUACAUAUUGACAACGUUUUGUCAAAUCACCAAUAAGAUAACCAUGUAUAAUUCAGCAUAGUAAUUAAGAUUAGUAACCUAAAAUAUUAGGCAAACAACUGAAAUAACAGUUUAAAUUAUACCGAUAGUGUAAAAGUUUUUGAAAUUUUAAGCUUAUGUAAGUUUUCACAACAUUAAGUGUUUAAUCACUUAUUAUAAAAUAAUAAAAUAUUGAAUUUGGAUUGAAAUCAAAUUUAUAAUUAAUAGACCGUGAAUUCAAUAAGAAAACUAAAAAUGGAGCAAUUCAGUUCUAUCCUAAUACAAUUUUUUUUGUAAUUAGUCCCAUGACAAAAUUAUAAUUAUACCCAUUAGUAAGUUUUCAAAUGGAGAAAAUUAUAACUUAUCAUUUUUUAGUGGAUAUUUUGGUAAGACAACAUUAUUAUUCUUGAUUCUAUAGUAAUAUAGACAGAUAGAUAUAAAUUACAUCUGCUUAUUGUUUAGGCUAUUUAAAUAGUGUAAAACGAUCUUGUAUUUUUAGUUUAUAAAAGUUAAAACUCUGACGAUAAUUAUUGAUAUUGUUCAUAUAAGUAAAUUAGUAACUAAUCUUACAAAUAAGAUAAGUAACUUUUUACAACAUAUUAAAAUCCAGUUCACAUUCAAUAUUGUUAGGGUUUUUGUCCUAAUUUUCUUACUAUAUUUAAGCUUUACUUUUUCUUAGAAGGAAAAUAAAAGUUACCAUAAUUACUUUUACAUUUCCUGAUAGAAAAAAUAUAAUUCUUUUCCAUAUUUGGCAAACCUCUUUCUUGGAGGAAAGGUUUUGGACAUCUAUAAAUAAAAGACCCCCUUCCCAUAUCAUAACACAAUAGCAUCAACAAUGUAGUCAUCAAAGAGUCUCGUUUAGGGGGAGAUUUUCUCUCUAAUAGUUUUACGUUUUCUUUUAUAUUAGGUUUUUAUAUGUAGGCCAAUUGGCCAAACUAUAUAAUCAUCAUGUUUUUAGUAUGUUUUUCUUUUCGCCUGAUUUAUCGUCUCAAUAAUUUGUAACUAAUAGCUUCCACAUGACGCCAUCUCGAUUUCAAACCCAACAAAUAUUUUUAUCAUAAAACAUUCUUGAAUUAUUUUAUUGAAAAUCUAAUGAUAGUUGUCCUAAUAAUUGUUUUUUUUUUUUUUUUUUUUUUUGGUUUUGGUAAUUGCAAAUACCAAUUUUUAUAAUUUUCAAAAACUAAUCUAAUUAUGUUGUCAUGUAGUAUGUUGUUAUUACAAAUAAAAAAUAAAAAAGAUUGUUGCCUACUUAAUUUUCCACGAUCAAGUUUUAAUUAUAUUCUAUCUUUUAUCCUUUUUGUUUGAUAAUUUAGUGUGCAACAUUCUACUAAAACUAAACAAUGCUAUUACUAUUUGAAGAAUUAUAUUUAUAUAUAUAUAUAUAUUAACCGUGAUUUACUUAAUACUAAAAAUAAAGAAAGUAUGGCAAAUAUUGUUAUUCAGUUCAUAAAACGUAUGAACUAAAAGUGUUUUUUUCCAUUGUUUUUGGGUCUAUCAAGAAAAUUCUGUCUCAAAUCAACAGCACAACCAACACACCAAUAUUAAACAUACGAUUUACCAAAAUCAUCAACAACCCAUUCACCAAAAAUAACAUUCGCUAUUCAUCUCCAAACUAUGAGAAGAAGUCAAUAACUUCAAAAGUCCAUAAUAACAAAAAAAUACUCAAACUCUAAAGUCAUGACUAUGGAGCGACUCUAAGAGGUUUCAACUUGAACAAGUGCGAGGCUUACCAGGAAUAUGUCACGACCCGAGGUUACCCCCUAGUCGCAACAACGGUGUUUACGGUCACAAGUGACCACAAGCUAAUUCUUGAGCUGGUACCUGCUGUGAGCACUGAGUAUAAUAAUAAUAUAACAUAUGUGCGAAAGAUACAAUGAGAAAAUAAUACCAAUCUGAAUAUUGAAAAUGUGGUUCAACCACAAGUCUAAAACAUCUGAUGAAAUAAUGGAAGCUAACUAUCAAUUUAAAACAACGGAUAAUACUGAAAGGUCUGGUUAACUGAAUAAUCGUCUAACUGACUGUUUGAUUAUUUGAAAAGCCUCUAACUGAAUGACUAAGAAGUUUAGGGAAAAUCCCCCAACUAACUCUAACUGACUGAACAUAAUGACAUUCUGAAGUACUGAAUGAGAAAUAAUAUGUAACGCCCCAAAAUCUAAUCCCCGAGAUGCCACACGGUGCUCCGAACUACAAGUAGUUCUGAGCUAACCCUAGCUGCUUUCUACUAAUCUUGUCUCAAAAAGGAUAAAUAUAAGCAUGAAACCAUAAUAAGUGUGGAAAUCUAUUUGAAUUCUCUGAAUAAAUAUUGAAUAGAAUCUGAAUAUGAUUUCUAUACCCAUGAGAUUUUUAGGAAAACCCGGCAUACCUUAAUACCGGAGGAUAAUAGGUAAUUCUUGAAGCUUACGGAUUGGGGAUUCCAAAUAAUCAAUCACUUUUGAAAAUCCACGGUUGAAUCUUGAGUUAUUUGGGUUUUUAUUUUGAAACCCUUGAGAGAGUUCUUGAGGAAAAUUGAGAGAAAUAAACUUAUUUUGGCGUUAUGGGAGUUUAAUCCAGUGUUAGAUAUGAUAUGGGGUUGAAAACUAUCACAUUUACCCUUAAUGAGUCGGAAAGAAGCUGAAAAUUGACCCCAGGCUGUACCCAGGGCGGAGCCCUUCUUAGUCCACCGCUCUAGCCCGAGCGGUGCCCUGCUUAUAGCCUCUUUCUACUAGUCAUGAAAAUGGCAGUAACUUUUCGCUCCAGUAUCGAAUUUUUUUUAAAUUUGUAUCAUUGGAAAGCUAAUUUAAUUAUCUACAAUUUGGUGGGUAUUGGGAUGAAAAUUUCCAUGUAUAUAAAGAGUCAUACACAUUUGAAGUAGAUCCUUGUAGAAUCGAAUAUCGAAUUUUGGACUACUCAAAUGAUCUUAGCUUAACUUUGUUCUAAGUCAUUGCUAUGAACACUUUUCACCUCUAAACUACUUCAUAGAUUAGGAUAAUGAUCAUGAAACUUGUAUUCACAUUCAAAUCAUUUGGAUUAGAGCUUAGACGUGUAGAAACGACGAUUUAAUUUCUAGUUCGAAAAUGUGGGGUGUUACAUUAUCUCCCCCUUGGGAUCAUUCGUCCUCGAAUGAUAGGUAGGAACUUGUUGAAGCUUAAAGGUAUAGAAUAAUGAGGACAUAAUGUGUCCUCUAAGAAAUAUAUAUCCGAUCUGAAAUAUUUAAACUUCUAUCAUGAAACUGAAUUCUGAGCAGACUUGACUUUACCUGCUUCAAGAUGCUGAUUCAUGCUGAGAGUUUAGGAUUCCCUUAAAGUAUUCAUGAUCCAAUUAUACAUAUUGAAUUGAGAAGUGAUAACUUAUGAAAGUACGAACCAUGAGACAACCAGACUUAGGUCACAUAAGGGUAUUACACUAUAUGAGCUAAAAUACUUAGAAAUUUUGAGAUUAUGCGCUGAACUUUUAUGCACCGAGCCUUGACCAAAUAGCUGAAUCUAAAACAUGAUGCUUGGAAUGAACUGAAUUCACAAUUUACAUGGAUGGAAUAGGUUAUAUCCUGGGGUGGUCAUACGUAUGAGACUUCGGAUAGUAAGACUGCGUGAAAAGGUGGAAAACCAUAGUAACUAAUUAGCCUGACUAUCAAACUGAAUUGCUGGCUAUACAGACUGAAUUACACUAGACACUUAACUUAAGUAUUCCUUGAACACCCUUUCUAAAGAAGUCCUAGUAGCCGUAGAAAGCAAGGGAUCUUGGGAAUGAGUUACAAAAGACAUCCAACUAGGGAAUCACAACAAUGACAUUACUCUUUAACACGGAAUAGACAUAUAACUCAUAAACUAGGAUAGAAUUACCACACCUUAAGCAAAAAAACUUCUUACUUUCAGGUUACCCACACUUCUAAAAUACUCUCUCAACUAUAGUUUUCCCCUUAAAUAUCAUGCUCAUUGAUUCCACUUAUUUUUCUCACAUAGACGCUGAUAUCUCCAUCUACUAAUGUCUAAACUUAACUAAAUCCUCUCACUAUCUUCAAGCCUAACUCAAACCAUAAGACACACCACAUAAUACUGUAGUACUAGUCUGAAUCAUAAAUUCAGUAUACCCUUCAUUUCACAAUUCCUCAUCUCAUGCAUAAUUCUUAUUGCCACUCCCAUAAUCACCUUCAACUUCUGAUUAGACAUUCACAAACACUCAAAGCAUCCAUCCGUAUGUAAACAAACAUGACAUUCAAGCCUAUAUUCUUACCCACAUAUGCACUUCUAAACAAAAACUCGUAAAGCACCUUCCUCAUAUUCUCUAAUACUUCUAUCCAUAACAGCUUCCUUGCACUAUUCAGAUGAUACACACAAAAUAUUCUCAACUAACCGAGCCAUACAUGAAACUUCACCUCAAAAUUCUUUCAAACUUAUAGACUUGGACUCAAUCUUACUCCACAAUUACUGCCUUAUCUCAACUAAGCAUACAACCAUAUUUCCUUAAUAAGAAAUGUUUACUCUCUCCCAUCUAGACAAUUGUUCAUCAACACUAUCUCGACCUACGAGAAAGGUCACUGAAAAGUUGGAAUAUCGGGAUUCAGAACAUGAGGGGAUUACUAAGCAUAACUUGAUACCCUUUUGAGGCAUGAGGAAUAGAGCACUCACGGUAUGAACUCAUUAAAGAGGUCUAAUCUGAGGAAGUACCCAACUGGGAACUCAUCAUACUAGAAGCUAAAAGAGUACAUGAUUCCCUAUCAUAUCCAUGAAUAUGAACUAUGAUCGUGGAGCUGAAACAUAAGUAUGAGUAUGUAUCAAAAUAAAUGAAGCAAACUGCUGAAAUAAGAAUACAUUAAGCAUCACUCUUCUCACGGCUAUUCCACCACUUACGGGCACAACAAUUAGAAUUUGAACGCUUAACUUGAUUACUCGUUCUAUCAUCUCCCCCUUAGAUUCAAGCCAUCACUCUGAGUCGGUGAACCACUGUAUACACUCUGGUAUAACUGAAAUCACUCUACUCUAGAGUCUGGGAUAUACAAUACACAUAAAACUAAACUUACUCUGAAAGACAGUAUCUUCGUGUAUAAUACCCAAUACUAAUAUCUCCUUCCAAGAUUCAACCCUUAGGCUUCUAUAGCCCCAAAAGUAAUUAUAUAACAACUUAAACAUUCACCAACUUAGAUUCUAACACUAAACAUGGAUAUCAUCAACCUCCAACACAUCAUACUUCUUCCGUCAAAGUCUACCGGUAUCGCAUCUCAAAACCUUUAUCUCUCCCCUAAUCCAUGAGAAUCAAAAUCAUACUUAAAAAGGCUCAACAUCCUUAAUCAUAACUCCAUAACUUAGCUAUCACGAACAUCACAUAUUAUUUAACUAGUCUUUCUCCACCUAGCAACUCAAUGGUACUACUAAUCCACACAACAUGCAAUGAUCCUCAAAAAUAACACAUCCCCAUAGCACCUUGGGCGUACGUCUACAUCAUACUUACAACACCAGACUUGAUUUUGAAUCAAAUAAACUUAAGAUCUUGUAUACACUAUUCAAGCCUACUAGGUUAUUUUCACACAACUAACAUCUACUACAUUAUUCAUUAUACCCACCUUGAUCACCAUCUACUAUUCCAACUUAGUGUUUAGUUCUAGCUACGAAGAACCAUAACUUUACACAAUAUUCUUACAUGCCAAACAUCUGAAAACAUUAACCAACCAAAACUUCAUAACAGUAAGGAUCAAUCACAAUCCUAUGAUCUAUCUUAUUUAAAACCCAUUAAUAUGUCCUCCUUCUACACAAUAUUACUAUCUACCCUUAUACAACUAAAAUUAGGGAAAAACUCUAUAAGUCUCAAUUAAGCUCCCUUUUAUAAUCUCAGGGGCAUCUAAUUCAAUGACACUCUUCCACCAAGUACCUUCAUCAAUAAACUACACCUUCCUUGCUCACAACAAACACCGUCAACAACUCUUUUCAUACUUCAAGCAAUCAACAAUUCACCUUAACUAAUAACUCCUUCUCUACCUUCUACUAAACUAACACACAAAGACGUAUCACUUUACUACUAACUCACUCUCAUUCAAAAAGAUUCAACUAUACAUAUAUUUAACCAACACCAGAACAAAAAACUGCUAGUGAAUCAAAAUAGGCCUCACACGGCUUUACUAGACUUUGAUUUUUGUGUUUUGAACAAGAAAAAGAAGAUGAAUGACAAGAAAACUAUGCUAGUGAAUCGAAAGAGCCCCACAUGGCUUCACCAGACUUUGAUUUUUUUUUUACAGAAACACCAUGAUAACAAGAUUGCCUAUUAUAAGAGAUAGAAAAUUAACACACGAUGUUCAAUGAUAGAAAAUUAACACACGAUGUUCAAUGAUCUAAGACUACACAUCUUACUCUGUAUAAAUAGAAAUCUGAGUCAAACACAUCCCCCACAGACUACCAUACAAUCCACACAUACUACUAGCUACCAUAUUAGUCUACCACUAUAGAGAGGUUAAUCAUCCUCAAACACCGGUUAUUCAAUUAAAAUAUUUAUUUACACAAAAGUCGCCCUCACUCUGACUUCUAACUCUGUGACUUCAUAUCACUAGCUUCUUGGUCUAAUCUUACUCCCAAUUGGUCAUGACACUGACACUUUAACUUAUACUACUAUUUGGGUGAAAAUGCAGUUCCAACAUUCUUCUACACAUUAUUCCCUCUGAAAUAUGACAUCUGUAACAUAAAUUUUGAAAAGGACCGAAUACUCUUAAUACUGCAGGCUGAAAAGCAUGAUUUUAUUAAGAUCAAGGUUCACACCAGAACCAAUACACUCUGAAGAAGUAAAGGACUCUUUCCAAGUCCUUACAAAACUCUUAUAUGAUUCAAUCAGAAAGAACCAUACCAUUUAGACUCUAAACUUCUGUACUUGAAUUAUCCCAAUAAUGAGACAUAUAUGAGAAUAUCAGAGAAAGGAAAGAAUUGGGAUGACUGUUACUUUCGUAUUGGCGACACCAUAGCAUGAAUUAGAGUAUGAAAGAGGAACAUUCUGACUUUGUUGCAUGAACUAGAACAUGAAGAAAGAGAGACAUUCCUAAACGCCUUAUAGCCUCCUACUUAUAAGUGUGGUGCACUACACACCCAUAAACAAGACUCUACCCAACACGAUUUCACAGAAACCCUGGGAUCAUGAACAGUUCUCUGAUACCAAGUUUGUUACGACCCAAACUAGGGCCUGGCCAUGAUGGACAUCCCAAACUAUGAAGGAACGAAAUGCCCCUCUCUAUAUAGUAAUCAUGCACAACAUUCAUAUAAUAAAAGAAGAUGCGGAAACAUAAUCUGCUACGGAAACAUGGUCAAUUAUAAAUUCAACAUAAGUAUGGAAACUGUAAAUCAACUACAUAUGAAUAACAUCUGACUCAGUCUGCGAAAUCUCUACUAGAUGGAAAUCUAACAACUGUCUGAAACUGGGACAAGGCCCCUAGUAGACCAAAACAAUAAUGAGUGACAUAAUCUGAAAGGACAGGCCUUCUGGAAUAGAGAAGGCUCACCACUACACAAUCUAAUCAGCUGCCUGAAUUAUCUACUGCUUAUCUGGACCCCUAGCCCGAACCUCAGAACCUGGAGGAAGGAGGGGGUUAAUACAGAUGUACUGGUAUGCAAAGCAUUCCAAAAUAAAGCUUUUAUAUAAAUAAAAUAAUGAAGAGCAAUUUGUCAAAACAUCAUACAUAAAAUAGUUUUCGAAACACAUGGGCACCUUUUUGAAAAUCAUAAAUCAUUCUUGACAAUGUAGUUCCUGUUCUUCAUUUUAAUUCUGAGCUAUGAGGUACACCCCUACAAUUCUAAAAUCCCACGGACUGUAUGGAAUCCGCCAUUAACUCGACAGGGAAUCCCCCAACCCAAGUGUCAUGGGUUGGAGUUUCUAUUCUGAUACGCCACACAGCACUAGGCCAGCAUAAUAUAAUAUACCCAGAUCAGAAAAUCAUGGUUUCGGGCAAUGAUUUGCCUGAACUCGUGCCUUCUUCGGGGAACCACUUAAGCUCUCUUUACGUCCAAUUUUAUCCUAUUCUAAAUCAUGCAUUUUUUUUUUAGUUUCAACAUCUGAAAGUUUGAUUUUAAACGUGCAUUCUAUUCUAUUCUGAAUUACCAUGGCAUAAUCUGAAUUGGUGUCGUCACACCAAGACUUGCAAGUACUAUUUCUGAGCCAUAAUGUAUCAUGCAUAAUUCUUUUAAUAAAACACAGGUCAGACCACCCAAAUAUGCAAUUAGUAUAAGAGAUAUUAUGUUUCGAAACUCAAGUCAAAACUAUGUGAAAACUGUCAUCAAGCAUAUGGUGGUCAUGUAUUUCGGCAAGCAUGCAACUCUUUCAUUAAAUGAAUAUUCAACUUUUAUCAAUAUGCACAACUUUCUCUUUCGAAUUCAAAACCAUAAAUCAAAUUGUAGCAUUAAUCAAGAUAUUUCAUAUCAUGCUUUUCAAGAUACAAAACAAUCCAUAUCAUAUGAAAAUUGGAAAAAUAAUAUCAAGAGAGGGAUUCAUGUGAGUCAUGCUCUCAAUUCAUUCAUAAAUCAUAAAACUUAUGCAUACGUAUAUAUAUGUAAUUUAAAUCCAUUUAGGGGAAGGCCUAAAGACCAAAACAAUGUCAUCAAGACUUCUAAAACAUAUUUAUAUUCGUAAAUCCAAAACCCCUUUUCUUAAAACAUGAUUUCUAUGCCUAUGAGAUUUUUAGGAAAACCCCGCGUACCUUAAUACCGGAAGAUAAUAGGUAAUUCUUGAAGCUUACGGAUUGGGGAUUCCAAAUCUUUAAUCACUUUUGAAAAUUCACGAUUGAAUCUUGAGUUAUUUGGGUUUUUAUUUUGAAACCUUUGAGAGAUUUCUUGAGGAAAAUUGAGAGAAAUAAAAUUAUUUUGGUGUUAUGGGAGUUUAAUCCCGUGUUAGAUAUGAUAUGGGGUUGAAAAGUAUCACAUUUACCCUUAAUGGGUUGGAAGGAAGCUGAAAAUUGACCCCAGGCUAUACCCAGGGUGGAGCCCUGCUUAUUCCACCGCUCUAUCCCAGGCGUAGCCCCCCCUUAGAGCACCGUUCUAGCCCGGGCGGUGCCCUACUUAUAGCCUCUUUCUACUGGUCACGAAAAUUGUUGUAACUUCUCACUCCGGUAUCGAAUUUUUGUAAAAUUGCAAUCGUUGAAAAGCUAAUUCAAUCAUAGGGUUUAAGCUGUCUGGAAGCAUAGGAUAUGACCUUAUCAUAUUGCAUGAGUACACAACCCAAACCUACUCUAGAUGCAUCACAAUACACUACGAACCUAUCUGAACCAUCUGGAAGAGCUAAAACUGAAGCUGAGAUGAGUCGAGUCUUCAACACCUGAAAAAUCUUCUCACAAGGAUAUGACCACUGAAACUUGACUUUCUUCUGAGUCAAUCUGGACAUAGGGGAACUACAGAACAAAUCCCUUAAUAAACUAUCUGUAAUAGCCAGCCAAACCUAAAAAAACUCCUGAUAUCUGAUGGAGAGACAGGGUGAGGCCAGUUUCUUACUGCUUCGAUAUUUUGAGGAUCUACACUAAUGACAUUAUCGGAAACGAUAGGACCAAUAAAUGCUACUGGCCUUAGACAAAAUUUGCAUUUAUUGAAUUUGGCAAAUAGCUGAUGAUCUCUGAGAGUCCAAAGUACUGUUCUGAGAUGGUCUUCAUGAUUGCGCUCAGUGUAGGAAUAGACCAAAAUAUCAUCUAUGAAGACUAUGAAGAACAUAUCCAAUUACUGAUUGAAUACACGGUUCAUCAAGUCCAUGAAAGCAGAUGGGGCAUUGGUAAGACCAAAGGACAUAACUAAGAAUUCGAAGUGACCAUACCGAGUUCAGAAAGCUAUUUUCAGAAUGUCACAUUCUCUAACUCUGAGCUGAUGAUAGCCAGAUCUAAGCUCGAUCUUAGAAAAAUUACUGGUACCUUGAAGUUGGUCAAACAAGUCAUCGAUUCUAGUAAGAGGAUACUUGUUCUUGACCAUGACCUGACGAUAAUCGAUGCACAUUCUGAGAGAACUGUCUUUCUUAUGCACGAAUAAGACUGGCGUACCCCACAAGGAAAUAAUGGGUCUGAUGAAUCCCUUAUCUAAUAGAUCCUUCAACCGUUCUUUUAAUUCUUUGAGUUUUACUGGUGCCAUUCUGUAUGGCAGAAUAGAGAUAUGCUGAGUAUCUGGAAGAAGAUCAAUACCGAAGUCUAUUUCCCUUUUGGGAGAAAUUCUUGGAAGAUCUUCGGGAAAGACAUCUGACUAUUCACUCUCGACUGGAAGUUAUUCAAGACUAGAAGUCUCGAAACUGGAAUCCUUAACAUGAACAAGAUAAUAGACACACCCUUUAGAUAUCAUUUCCUUUCCCGAAGGUAAGAAACAAGAUGACCUCUGAAAGCAAAUACAUUACCCUUCCACUCUAGGAUGGGUUUAUUCAAAAAUUGAAACUAAACUAUUUUAUUUCUGUGGUUGACUGUGGCAUAGUAGGAAUGAAUCCAAUCCAUGUCAAGAAUGACAUCAAAAUCAGUCAUCUCCAAUUUGACUAAGUCUGCUAAAGUGAAUUUCUGAAAAAUCAUAAUCGGGCAGUUCCUGUACACCCACCGAGCUAUGAUGGUUUUAUCCACUGGGGUAGAGACUGAAAAGGGUUUUGCUAGAAUUUCGAUACUGAUUUUGAAAUCAACUACUAUAUAAGGUGUAACAGAAGACAAAGAAGAUCUUGGAUCUAGCAAAGCGUAAACAUGCACAAAAAAGAUCUGUAACGUACCAAUAAUCACAUCAAAAGAAUUUCUAGAUCCUGGUAGGAGUGAAGAGCAUAGAGACAAUUUGGGUGUUGCCCAGUAGUAGUACUUGAGGUGGCACCCUAUUGAUUUGGGCGACUGGACUGAGCUGAGGAGUGGAGAUGACUCUGGUAGCCUGACUGAGGGCAGUCUCUGACUCUGUGGCUUGGCUUGCCACAAUCGAAACAGACAUCACUACCCGCCCUGUACUCACCCUUAUGGUUCUUACCAUAAGUCUGACAAAGAGGAUUUGUUCGGGGACUGCUAACACUGCCCUGGGUCUUAGAUCCUAGCACUCUAUCUCUAUUUCCCUCUCUGAACUUAGGAACAGGAGCACUGGCUAUAGAGAGAUCUAGAACUUAUGACUUAGGAUGAAACUAAGAAUGGUUUCCUCUUUAUGACUUAGGUUGAGCGAAGUUGAAACUACCUAUCUUCACUCUCUUAUUCUGUUUCUCUCUUAUCUUAACCUGUUGCUUCUCUAUCUGCUGAGCAUGGGUCAUAAGUCUAGCUAAGGUUAUGUCACUAUUUAGCAUGACAAAUCUGCACUCAUUAACCACACUAUCGUUUACUCCUGACAUAAACUUACUCAUCCUUGCCCUGCUAUCUGCAACCACAUGAGGGGCAUAUCUGGCUAGUUGAGUAAAUGUGAGAGAAUACUCUUUCACUGUCAUAUUGCUCUUGCUGAGGUUGAUGAAAUCUAACACCUUGGCUUCUCUAAGAUCUAGGGGAAAGAACCUAUCAAGGAAAACUGAAGCAAACUCCUCCCACUCAACUGACCCUGCAUUUUCUGCCCUUUCUGACUUCUACUGCUUGAACCAAGUGUGAGCACCAUCCUACAAAUGAUAUGCAGCUAGCUCAGCACUCUCAACAGUAGUCACCCCCAUUAUAUCUGCCACCUUCUGCACCUGAUCAAGGAACUCCUGAGGGUCCUCAUCUGUCUUAGACCCAAGAAAGGUUGGAGGAUUCAUUCGGGUGAAGUCCCAAAUUCUAGCUGCAGCUGAAUUGGCCACUGGGUUGGCCAGAAUGACAACUGGUCAUUCAUUCUAGGUAGAACUGACUGAGCAAGAGUGGUAACUACGGUCCUAAACUCCGCAUGAGAAACAUGAUCGCCCAAAGGUUUUUCGGGUUGAGGGGCUGACAGAUUUCUUAUCUUAGGAGGCAUAUUCUAAAAUAAAGAGAAGAAGCAGAUUAGACUGAGAGACUGACUUGAGUUUAUGCUCACUGGCAUAAUAUGAAUACUGAAAGAGGGGAAACUAUUCCUAAAACAUCUCAUAGCCUCCUACACAUAAAUGUGGCACGCAACAUACCCAUGUACAAGACUCUAGUAGAUGCAACUUUCAGAAUUCCUAGGACUCUAUUGAUCCUUAGGCUCUGAUACCAAGUUUAUAACACCCCAAAUCUGGUACCCAAAAUGCUACACGGUGCUUAUGACCCCAAAGGACCAUAAGCUAACCCAUGACUGAUAUUUAUAUCUGUACACUGCAUAAUAUGACAUAAUAAUGCGAAAACAUGCACUGAAAGGCCAUAAGGUUCAAUACUGAACAUAACAUGGAUAAUAUAACAUCUGAGUGGGGUAAUGGAAUACCCAAAACAAAAUUGAGAAAUACUGAAGUUUGAAACAUAACAGUCUAGAAAGCCUCUAACAUGACUAUCUGAAUGAGUAAGGAAUUGAUGGGACAUAUCCCCAACUAACUCCAACUAAUAAACUAAUUAAUGAGAUAAUAUAAAAAUCAUCAUGUCCUCAGAGGAUGAGGACUCACUUCUACUCUGAUGGCUGAGACUGGAAUCUACUGGUGAUCUGGAGCUCGUGUCUCUGAACCUAUGGUAUAAGACACCAUAGCAUGAAUGCGUCAGUACUUUGAAUGUAAUGGUAUACAUGUGAGGUAGGAUAAAUACAUGGGGCUCAUAUACAUAAAUAAUAAUAAUAACUGACUGGCUAUCAUGAGCGUGAGAAAUGAUGCAUGAGAUGCGAUAACUAACACUGAUACCGUGAAUACAUAAUAACUGAACCUGAGUACUGAUAACUGAAUACUAGUAACAUGACAUACAAAUAACAUAAAUAACUGUAUCUUGAAAGCAGAGUCCAGCAACCAGAAAAACUCUCUUUCUAAACUCACCAGUGAUCGUUUUUCCACUAAGAAAAACUAUUAUAAAAAGCCUUCUCCUCCAGAUGUUCAAUUUGAAGAAAAUCCCUACCUCUCAACCUUCAACCAUGACGGUAGAGGAAUAACUAAAUGGAAUGUAGACGGUUUGGCUGAACACCAAAUCUACAACAACCUCACCUGCAAAGACCUAGCAGACUUCAGGUGGUAUAAAGACACCUUUUUAGUAAAGGUCAUGAUCCGACCUGAUUGUAACAAUGAUUUCUGGAAGGAACGAUUCAUUAGUGGCCUUCCUUCUCUGUUCACAGAAAAGGUUAGAACCAAAAUUAAAGACAGAUUUGAGGGAAAGAUCCCUUAUGAUAUCCUAAGCUAUGGCGACUUGAUCAGUUUCAUCACCACCGUAGGGAUAGAUCUUUGCACUGACCUCAAACUUAAAAAUCUCAAAAUCCGACUUGACCAAGUAGAACUUAACGUUCUUACGGAUCAAGUCCUCAAAAAUAUAUCUCCCCCAGAAAAGGUUUCUCCACCAGAGUCACCUAAAGCCUUUCCGAUCAUCCCAAAUGACCAUCUCAGAGAACCAGAGCCUAGUUCCUUUCCUGGCUCAGAUUCUCCCUCCACGUCCGGCAAAGCUAUUACGGCCAUAAAGGAUUAUAGCGAACAUAUAGCCAUAAAAAUUGUCAUAAACAUAGACUUUGUUCUUAACAGAGUCGCACUCUUCGAUACAGGAGCAGAUAGUAACUGUAUCAUUAAAGGUUUAGUACCUACAAAGUACCUCCAAAAGAGUACCUCUCGUCUUUACUCAGCGACGGGAGAAGAAAUGGAAAUCCAUUAUCAGCUCCCUAAAGCUCAUGUCUGUAACAAUGGCAUUUGCCUUGUUAAUGACUUCGUCAUCACCGAAGAUAUCACAGAAGAUAUCAUUUUGGGGAUACCUUUCGUCAACCAAAUUCGACCUUACUGGAGUGACUACGACGGAAUUCGUACAACUCUUUUAAACCAGAACUUAUUCUUCCCUUUAUUACGGCCCCUCUCGCAAGAAGAAGGUAACCUUAUUAUAGAACGAACGGUUUUUAAAAUUAACCGACUUUCUUCCCAUAUCAAUUUUCUUAAACAAGAUAUUCACAUCAAGAAAAUUGAGCAGUCUUUAAAAACCCUGGAGAUGAUCACUAAAAUAUCUAAUCUCCACAAAAAUUUUGAAAAUGAAAUUUGUUCCGAAUUUCCUAAUGCUUUUUGGGAACGGAAAAAACACUUNNNNNNNNNNNNNNNNNNNNNNNNNNNNNNNNNNNNNNNNNNNNNNNNNNNNNNNNNNNNNNNNNAUCCAAAUGAACCAAGAAAUGAUGGAAAUCUGCAAAAAGAAAAUUGACCAUCUUCUAAAGAAUGGUAUUAUUAGAAGCUCUAACUCUCCCUGGAGUUGUUCUGCCUUUUAUGUCAAUAACAGUGCAGAAAAGGAGCGCGGAACCCCUAGACUUGUAAUAAAUUACAAGCCUUUGAACGCAGUCUUAAAAUGGAUCAGACAUCCUAUUCCUAAUAAAAGGGAUCUAUUAAAAAGAACUUUCAAAUCUAAUCUUUACAGCAAAUUUGAUAUGAAGUCCGGGUUUUGGAAAAUUCAAAUUGCUGAGAAAGAUAAAUAUAAGACGGAUUUUAACGUCCCAUUUGGACAUUAUGAGUGGAACGUCUUGCCUUUUGGUCUCAAAAACGCUCCAUCAGAGUUUCAAAACAUUAUAAACAAUAUCUUCAAUCCUUAUACUUAUAUGUCGAUUGUUUAUAUUGAUGAUGUGCUUAUUUUCUCGGAGAACAUUGAUUCUCAUUUCAAACAUUUAAACACUUUCUUUAAAAUUAUUAAAUUUAAUGGUUUGGUUGUUAGUGCCAAAAAAAUGAAGCUCUUCCAGACAUAUACAAGAUUCUUAGGACAUGAUCUUUAUCAAGGUAGCUAUAAACCUAUUUGUAGAGCCAUUGAGUUCUCCUCCAAAUUCCCUAAUGAAAUUACUGAUAAGACUCAACUCCAAAGGUUUCUAGGAAGCCUCAAUUAUGUUGCGGAUUUUAUUCCUAAUAUUAGGCAGGUCUGUGAACCUCUUUAUAAAAGACUCAAAAAAAACCCCAGUUCCUUGGAGUCCUGAUCAAACCAAUGCUGUCAUUAAAAUAAAAAAUUUAGUCCAGAACCUUCCUUGCUUAGGAAUUCCUAACCCUGAAGCCUUCAUGAUAGUUGAAACUGAUGCUUCAGAUAUAGGGUAUGGGGGUAUCUUAAAGAUAGGGUUGGCUAUAGGAUUAGGGCUUGGGGCUCCUUUCUCAGGAGUAGGGGAAACAAAAGGAAAUACCGAGUUUUUAGUAUGUCGUAUUUGCUGGUAGAUAGUGUGAAGGACCUGAUUAGUAUAGUUGUUUUGUUCAACUAUCCUAUCGAGGUCUCUAUUGAUAGGGGCAGAUAGAGGUCUAUCAUGCUUCUUCUUGAAUGGUGAAGCAUUGAGAACUUUAUUGGAAUGAGGAAUUUUUAUCCCUUCGAGAGGAGGAGUAACAGAUUUAAUUAUCUUGUUACUCUGAGUAUAACAUUUGUUAAUGAUACCGUUGAGGGAUUCAUUUUGGUUUUCCAUUCUUCCGGUGAACUCAAACCAUCGAAAGAAUUCUAUGUCACAUCGGAGCCUUUUCAUAUCGGUUAUCCAUAGCCGACCUAACUCCUUUUGUUGUUCUUUGGAAUAGGUACUGGUAUACCAUUUACUUUUUAUUGUGUCCUUUGGGAGGUACCAGCGGACUUCAAGAGCUUUAAGAUCAGGUGUAUACUCUUCAUCAAAUUUGAUGACGAGUAGGCUGGGGUCGGUCCGAAUUUUUUGACGGGAUAUGGUAGGGGGAGGUUCCAUAUCAGAGGCUGUAGGACUGCCUGGAUCAUAAGGAUUUUCAGGUUCUAGGGACUCAUAGACCCUAGUGGAUUGCUGAUAAUAAACUUUUGGGACAGGACCAGAGAAGUCGACUCCUCUUACUUUGCCCUUGUCAUUGUUAUUAUCAUUUUCGUCACUUCCCUCCUNNNNNNNNNNNNNNNNNNNNNNNNNNNNNNNNNNNNNNNNNNNNNNNNNNNNNNNNNNNNNNNNNNNNNNNNNNNNNNNNNNNNNGGAACAAAGACAUUGGUUCUGUCUUUAUUGGCCUCCAUGAGUGUGGUGACACCCCUAGGACUUGUGAAUCUAGCUUGGGGUGCUAGAGUUGUACCCAUUAGUCGAUAGUAUACUCUGUAUAUUAUUGCGAUUUCUCUAGUAUUAUCCUUACUGUUCAUGUUUUAGUUUUAACAUUAAGGGUUAAAACAUCCAUGAUGUUAGGAUCAUUAAUGUCUACUGAGAAAUUAGGGUAACAAUUAAAGUAUACCGGGCCAUCAGCUAGGUUACUUUGGAUAACUCCUAAGAGUGAGUCGUCAAAAUUUAAUAGACGAGCAUCUCUUAGAAUAGCACAGACAGGGAUGUCUAGACCCUGUCUAAAGAGUGGCUUAAUGGCCACUUGAACAAGUCCGAUAUGCAGAUAAUUAAACUGAUUUUUAAAUCGGUUUAUGUCGUGGUCAUUUAAAAGUUGAAUAAUUUCCAAAGAAUUAUUGAUAGCAACCGUAGACUCAGAGGUCUUAAUAUUAUGUUUUUUGAAAAAACUAAAUUUUCUGAUUUGAUAAAUCGUGCUAAAAGAUUCUUCUGGAAUACUCCAGUUUUGAAGAUUAUUUUCUAUAUUAGCAAUCUGAGUUGCUUUAGAAGAUAAGUUGAUAGUAUUUUUAGUAUGAACGUUGGAAUUCAUAUUUGAAAAUACUGUCUAGAGACUGACUGGGAAAGCAAAGAUUUUCACAUGAGGAAGCAUAAAACAAUUAUCAACUAUGAUACAACCUAUAAUAAAUUAUAUUAAUACAUCUAAGACCAUCAACCUAGACAAGUCCAUAUCACUAAUCAACACUGCAGUCCAUCACUCUUUAUCCACUCUACCUGAUACUCCAAAAACAAACUUAUUCAUCGUGGACCUACUGUCUGCCACUACAUAAGGAGCGUACCUGGCUAACUGGGUGAACUUAAGGGAAAUAACCUAUCUAAGAAAGCUGUAGCGAACUCUUCCCACUCUAUGGGCUCUGUAUCUAUACCUUUGUCUACCUUUUACUGUUUAAACCACGUAUAGGCUACAUCUUGUAGCUGAUAGGUGACUAACUCAACACUCUCACUGGAAGUCACUCUUAUGAAGUCUGUGACUUUUUGAACCUGAUCAAGGAACUCCUGUGGAUCCUCUUUGGACUUGAAACCGUUAAAUAGAGGAGGGUUCAUUCGAGUGAAAUCUCAAAUCCUAGAUGGAUCAACAUUGGCCUCUGGGUCGGCUAGAACAGCGGCUGGCUAUUCGUUUUGAGCUACGACUGAACUGGCUAGAGUAGUGAAUGCAGUCCUGAAUUCUGCAUGAAAGAUGUAUUCGUCCAUGGAAUCUGCUUGGUCAGGAUGAGGUGCUGACUGAUUUUUGGUUCUUUUUUCACUAGUUCUUUCUAAAGAUAUGUUCUAUAAAUGAAAGAAAGAAGUGAAUUAGAUUGAGAGUUUAAUUAGAGCUUUUGCCCACUGGAACUACAUGAAUACAGAAAGAAAGGAAACUGUUCCUAGAACAUCUUAUUGCCUCCUGCACAACACAUGCAUGUACAAGGCUCUACUAGAUGCACCUUUUUAGACUUCCUAGGACUCUAUGGAACCUUAGGCUCUGAUACCAAGUUUUUAAUACCCUGAUUUUCUAAACCGAAAUACUGCAUGGUGCUCAUGACCCCGAAGGACUACAAGCUAAUUUAUGACUAAUAUCUGUACCUGUAUACUGUAUAAUAUAACAUGAAAAUGCAGAAAUAUGAACUGAAUGGCCAUAAGGUUCAAACCUAAAUAAACAUCUGAUAAGAACAAUAUCUCAAAACGGUAUAACAAUAUCAAAACAAGUCUGAAAGAACUGUCUAAUAUGUUGUAGUCUGGAAAGCCUCUAAAUUGUCUAAUAAGGAGUUGAUGGGACAUGUCCCCAACUAACUCCAUCUACUGAAAGAAAAUAACUACUGAAAAAAUGAACUAAUCAAAUAAUAUCAUCCUCAAAUGAUGAUGACUCACUGCUAACACUGUCUGCUAAAAUCUGGAAUGCUACAGCUGAUAUGGAUCUCGUGUCUCUGUACCUAUGGUGUAGAAUAAAAGAAACACCAUAGCGCAAAUGCGUCAGUACGUUGGAAUGUACUGAGUAUGUAAGUGAGGUAGGCUAAAUAUAAAGGGUUUACAUGCAUGAACAAUGCUGACUGAUAUGAACGUGAGAAUACAUAUGUACAUAAAUAACUAUAACUAAACUCGUGGAAAUACAGACUACAGAGUCUGAAUACUGAUAACAUGAUCCUACUGAUACUGAGAUACUAAUUGAUUGAGUUUACUAGAAUUAAAGUGUAAGUCACUAAUGAGUGAGAAAACUGAUACUGUAUUGUUGAAUACUGAAGGACUGAAAAUGCAUUACUGAUACAUGGAUAACUAUUUUUGACAGUUCUGGUUAUGAAGAACUGGCCUGGUUGACUGUAUCUGGUAUUCUAAUUAUAAAGAAUAAAUCUGAUGGACCGUAUCUGACAGCCAUGAACAUGAAGAAUUGAUAUGCUUGAUCAUAUCUGACAGUCAUGAAUGUAAAUACUGGUAAUAUGAGUUCUGAUAACUAGGAAUUCUAAUAACAUGAGUUCUGAGAACUGAUAUGACUGAUAAUAAAGUGACUGUAUCUGAAAGUCCUAAAUAUAGGGAAAUAGCUAAGUUCCAUAUUACUGGGUGACUGUGGCUGACAGUUCUAAAAUCUGAAGAACUAUCUGAGUCCUUUUACUGAGACUGAGAAUGAGACAAUGGGAGGUAAUCAUCUAACCGACAUACCUCGAAACUGAACUAGUUAGGGUCCAAUCCUUGCCCUGAUUAGAAGGCAUCAAUACCAUGCCACGGGUAGAGACAACAUAUGAGUAAACCCUAUUUUGUUAUUAAGAGCUCAUUCCGUCUACCCUACUAUCAGGCAAACUCAAAGGAGAUGCUUUAACCCUAUGGGUAGGGACAUCUCAACCUACGAUGGCUACGUAGUUCUGGAAUGCAAGGAUUGCUUUUAGGAAUCACACCCUUUGAUUGUAACAGGUGAGUCCCCAUCCUUGGUUCUCUCGGUGCUGAAUCCUACUUCCAACUGGAUAGACACUGAACGAAUUUACUGAUCUGAACUGAUUAACUGAACUGAUGCUGGUGGAUUGUUUAGUAGAGCUAAACUAAGUUUACUAGAUUCCGAUGACGGACGGAAUGUACUGAGUUCUGAGGACUAAUUGAAAGUACUGAAGUUACUGAGAGAACUAGAAUUACUGAAGUUUUCGAUAUCACUGAGUACUGAGAUCACUGAGAUUACUGAACUAUUGAGACUUACUGAGGUUUCUGAGUUACUAAAAUUUCCUGAGUCACACGACUGACUGAGUUCUAUGAAACAUGGCCUGACUGAGAAUAUCAUGAAAAUAUGACAUGGCUAUAGGCACACAACUAUAUUUUUUGGAUACGAGUACCCCAGGACUCGAUGUAUGGAAACUGACACACAUGACGUUUCUUGAAUACAUGACCAAUGUCAACAAUCCAUAAUAUCAUAACAUAGGGAAUUUCAAGAAGUACAUGGUUAUCAUACAUCUUAUACAUAAGUAGGAUUUUCAAGAAAGCAUAGCAUAAUCUCACAAGACUAGUUCAUGAACAAUCCAACAACAUUUACAAUUUAUAAUACCAUAAAUAGGGGAUUUCAUACUACACUUGGUUAUCAUAUUCUAGAUCAUGGAAGAUAAUGCAUAUAACAUGUACAUACUUGCAUGAUUCCAAUUUCAUGAACAUUCCAUAUCACAACAACAAUACACAAUAAUUAGCAUGGAAUUCUAGUCUCUUAGGUAUUUUAUCAAACACCUUGCAUGCAUACUUUAUGGCAUAGGUUUAUUCAUGAAUUCAACAACCCACAUCACACAAAGUUCAUAUAUUUUAACCAACAUCUCAUCCUAGUUUCAUUCAAACCCAUAAAGAUUCUAUCUUGACAUCAUUAAACACAAAAACAAGAUCAACAAUCAAAUCAAAAUAUAUCAAGCAUGGCAUAUAGUUUAAAAUAGGAUUCUUGGACUUCAUGCACGAAAGGAGUCCAUGAAUGAACACAUACAUACCUUAUUUCUUGAUUCAAAAAAGAUUGACGGAAAAAUUCUUGGAAUUUGAUGGUGUAAUUUUCUUGAACUUGAAUUACCCAAUUGAAAUCCUAGCUGGUUCUUGAGAGGAAUUUGAGACAAGAUAGUGUAUUUUGGUGUUUUUGAGCCUUAAUCCCCUAUUUUUGAGUAUAUAUAUGAAGGUAAAAUGACCAAAUACCCCCGAGAGCAUGGAAGUGGAAUGCUAAAAAUUGGGCUAGCACUGGAGUUGCUAGGCGGCGCCUGCCUAAGCCCAAUGGACUACCCCAGGCGAUGCCUGCCUUAGCCCAGCGGACUACCUCAGGCGGGGCCUGCCUUAUGGCAGUUCUAUAGCUGGGGCGACGCGGGCUUAUCUCCCCGAGCUGCUAUUUUGGAAUUCCAAACAUGCCCUUACGCUAUCCAAAAAAUUCCAAAACUUACCCGAGAUGUACUACGACAUUACCCCAUCAUAACGCAACUUGAAAAUCUAAAAACGAAGGUCGGGAAGGUCAUCAAAUAAAUCCCCAAAGUUUGGAAGUCUAAAAUGAGACUAAGUGUUGAAUCUUGAACACCUAGCAAAAUUUUCUAAGUCUUGGAACCUUUCAUGGAGCUUCGCGUGCUGAAUUUGACACGCGAUUUUGUGUGGUCUUACAGUUUUUAAGGGAUAAAUGGGUAUCUUCCAUCCCUUAUCCAGCUUUAAUACGGGAUUAAACUCCCAAAACACCAAAAUAUGAUUCUAUUCACCCAAACUACCCAAGAACACUCUCUAGGAUUUCAAACUAAAAACCCAAAUAUCUCAAGAUUUAGCCGUGGGUUUUUCGUAAUUCUUCAAGAUUUGAAAUCCCCAUUGCGAGGGCUACAAGAGGCAACCAUCAAUCGUAUGUAUAGCAUCCUAAAAGCUAGAGUUUAUUCAAAAGAUUCUAAUUUAAGGUACGUGGGGUUUAUCCUAAAAACUACAUGGGCUUUUAAACUCUAGAACAUGAUUUAAAGAUUAUCAAGCAUGAAUUUUAAAGGGGUUUCAGAAUUUAUGCUUUAAAUUCUGCAUUAUGGAUGUCUUGAUAAUGAUAUUGUUUUGCCCUUUAGGCCUUUCCCUUAAACUGAUUUAUACCUAUAUGUAUAUGUAUCAUAUUGAAGGUUUGACUGAGAGCACUGCUAUUGAAAUCCCUCUUUUUGAUGAUUUAGAGUUUAUGAACUUGUUGAGAAUGAUUUGAGAUGCAUGCACAAUGUUUAGAAAGUGAUCUUUUCAAUAGUCAAGAAUUUAAUAUGAUUUUGAUGAUGAUGAGAGGGAGCCUUUUGAAUAUGAUUUUAUUUUUACGUUAAAGAGAAAGAAUUUGCAUAUGAUUGUUAUUUUUGGCAUGACCACCUUGUAUAUUUAAUGUUGAAAGAAGAGAGUUUCUUACAUAUGAUUACAUGAAUUAAAUAAAUGAGUUCUUUGAAAUGAUUUGUUGAUAUAGUGGUCCUAAACAUAUGUUUUGAGAGCAGAGAUUUUUAUAUGCUAAAAUGGCUCAGAGAUGUCACUUGCAAGCCAGUGGUAUAACGAUACCACAAGUAUGUAUGCCAUAACAGAGUAUGUUUUCAGAGUAUGAUUUCAGAUGUUGUUCUCAAAGAAUGGAUGUUUUGAAAGAGUUAGAAAUGGGCUUAAAAAGGGUUAGGUGGUUUUCCGAAGAAUUCUUGAGCUCAAGUAACUCAUAGCCAGAAACUGUUUUUUGCCGAUGCGGGUACAUUAUUUCCCCACGAGGGAUUUUUAUGCUGGUCUAGUGCCCUGUGGCGUACAAAGUAGAGAGUCCGACCUUUGUGUCAAACUUGGGUUGGGGGCUUGGCUGCCAAGUUAAUGGCAGAUCCCAUAUAGCCCGUGGGAUAACAGAGUUGUAGGGUAUACUACCUAGCACAGAAUUAAUACAAAGAGUAUCACAGAUUUUAGAUAUUUUCAUAGAGUCUUUUAAAAUGCCCAUGUGAUUUCUUACUAUAUGAUAUGCUUAUGAAUUGUUUUAAAUUGCUCUCAUAUAUGUUGAAUAUAAAAGAUUAUUUUGGAUUUACCCUAUGUACUAGUACAUCUAUAUUAACCCCCCUCCCCCUACCUCUCAGGUUCUAAGGUUCACUCUAGGGGUCCAGCUAAGCAGUAGAUAAUUCAGACAGCAGAACAGAUUGUGCAGUGUGAAUCUUCACUAUUCCAGAAGACCUUUUUUCUUUCAAAUUUUGUUGUUCCUUCAUUUUGGUCUACUGGGGGCCUUGUCUUAGAUUUUUCAGACAGUAUUGUUUUGAGAUAUAGUAGAGAUUUUGCAGACUGAGUUAGAUGUUGUUUAGAUAUUGUUGGAGUUUUCCUUCAUUGUUAAACUAAUUUCAGAGUAUGUUCAUGUUUCUACAUUCUAUUUAUAAUUCCGCAUUUUCCUUUUAUUAUAUAAAUGUUGUGCAUGAUUACUAGAUAGAGUAGGACAUCUGGCCUUCAUGGGUCAGAUGUCCUUCCAGGCCCUAGUUCGGGUUGUGACAAACACCGGGUGAAUAAAACCCAAACUUGCAGGCAAUUCUAACUCAUAUGCAACCCCAUCUAUCCUUUUCAAAAUUUGUUAUGGCCCUAUAUAGCGAGGACUCAACUUCUCUUUCUUUCCAAAACGUAUGACUCCCUUCAUAGGGAGACCUUGAGAAAUACCUAAUCACCAACCUCGAAUUUUAUCUCCCUUCUCUGAAUAUUAGCAUAGUACUUCUGUCUACUCUGGGUUGUUUUAAGUCAUUCUCUAAUAAUUUUCACAUCUUCCAUAUCCUGGUGAAUAAGAUCAGGCCCAAGAAAUUGUGUCUCACUAACCUCAUACCACCCUAUGGGCGACCUGCACCUUCUCCCAUACAGUGCCUCAAAAGGUGUCAUCUUAAUAUUGGCAUGGUAGCAAUUAUUGUAGGUGAAUUCUAUCAAUGGAAAAUGGUCUACCCUACUACCUUUGAAAUCAAUUACACAAGAUCUCAACAUAUCUUCAAGGGUCUGAAUAGUCCACUCAGCUGGCCCAUCCGUCUGAGGGUGGAAAGCCGCACUCAGGUUCACUUGGGUACCUAAAACCUCCUAAAAAGAUCUCCAAAACUACGAUGAGAAUUGCGUACUGCGGUCAGAUAUGAUGGACACAGGUGCUCCAUGCAAACGGACUAUCUCCUCAAUGUAAAUCAUGGAAUAGUCAUCUCCCAAAUAAUUAGUCCGCACAGGCAGAAAGUGAGCUGACUUAGUCAGCCUGUCAACAAUCACCGAGAUAAAAUCAUACUGGUUUUGGUACCUCGAAAGUCCCAUAAUGAAGUCUAUAUUAAUCAUCUCCCACUUCUAUAAGGGAAAAGCUAUCCCUUGGGAAGUACCACCUGGCCUCAAAUGCUCUACUUUAACUUGCUGGCAAUUCAAACACUUGGAAACAUAAUUAGCCACAUCACGCUUCAUAUUAUUCCACCAAAAUAUAGUUCUCAAAUCAUGGUACAUUUUUGUAGAGCCUGGAUGAACAACAUACCUCGAUGUGUGAGCUUCAUCAAGGAUUCUUUUCCGCAGGUCAUUUACAUCUGGCACACAUAAUCUACCUUGAUAUCUCAGAAUACUGUCACCACCAAUUUCAAAGGACAUCACCUUCCGCUACCCCACAUCAUUCUUAAUUUGCAUCAAAAUAGGAUCUUCAGCCUGCUUUUCUUCAACCUCUGCACAAAGGGAUGAUUUUGUUAUUUCAUGAACAACCACCCCUCUAUCUUCGGAAUCCAAGAGUUGAACCCCAAGAUUUGUAAGUCGGUGAAUAUCCUUCACCAUCUCCCUUUUCCCCUGCCUCUACAUGAGAAAGACUACCCAUAGAUAACCUGCUGACGGCAUCGACUACCACAUUCACCUUUUCCAGAUGAUAGUGCAGGCUCAUGUCAUAAUCCUUUAGCAAUUCCAUCCGGCGUCUUUGCUUGAGAUUUAAUUCUUUCUGUGAGAAAAUGUGCUGAAAACUCUUGUGGUCACUAAGAAUAUCAACGUGUACCCAUAAAGAUAUUGCCGCCAUAUCCUAAGCGUGAAUACCACACCCGCUAACUCUAAGUCAUGAUUAGGGUAAUUACGCUCAUGCACUUUCAACUGCCUUGAUACAUAAGCCACCAUCUUACCAUGUUGCAUAAGUACACAUACAAGUCCCACACGAGAUGUAUCAAAGUACACAACAAAGCCCUCUGUACCUUUCGGAAGAGUCAAAACAGGAGCAGUGGUCAACUUAUCUUUCAACUUCUCAAAAUUAUUCUCACAGGAGUCAAACCACACAAAAUUUACCUUCUUCUAUGUCAGCUUAGUAAGUGGUGCAUCUAUGGAAGAAAAACUCUCUACAAACCUUCUAUAAUAUCCUUCCAAACCCAAGAAGCUACGAAUAUAGGUUGGAGUCCUGGGUCUAGGCCAUCUUCUCACAACCUCAACCUUUUGGAGAUCAACCUUAAUUCUCUCACUAGACACAAUAUGACCCAAGAAACAAAUAGCAUUCAGACAGAAUUCACACUUGGAAAAUUUUGCAUAAAACUUAUGCUCUCUGAGAGUCUGAAGAAUAAUUCGGAGGUGAUUGGCGUGGUCCUCCUCACUCUUAUAAUAAACCAAGAUAUCAUCAAUGAAUACUAUGACAAACAGAUCCAAAAACUGAUGGAACACCCUAUUCAUUAGGUCCAUGAAAGAUGCAGGGGCAUUAGUCAAUCUGAAGGACAUGACUAAGAAAGCAUAAUGACCGUAUCAGGUUCGGAAAGCUAUUUUGGGGAUGUCUGACUCUCUAAAUUUCAACUAAUAGUAUCAGAAUGAAGGUCUAUCUUUGAAAAAUAUUUAGCACUCUGAAGUUGGUCAAAGAGAUCAUCAAUCCUAUGAAGAGGAUAUUUAUUUUUAACAGUGACCUUAUUUAACUGGCGGUAAUCUAUGCACAUACGCAAGGAACCAUCUUUCUUACGCACGAAGAGUAUAGGUGCACCCAGGGAGAAACACUAGAAUGGAUAAAACCUUUAUCUAGAAGAUCUGCUAGCUGCUCUUUCAACUCUUUCAGCUCCACAGGAGCCAUCAUAUAGGGCGGAAUAGAGUUGGGACGGGUGUCCGGCUACAAAUCUAUACCAAACUCUAUCUCUCUAUCAGGUGGUACCCCUGGGAGAUCUUCGGGAAAGUCCUCCAAAAAUUCUUUUACCACAGGGACUGACUGAAGAGAUGGACUCUCCAUAUUAGAAUCUUUCAAUCAGAUCAGAUGAUAUAGAAAACCUCUGGAAAUGAGCUCUAAGAUAAGAUAUAAAAUUCCCUCUAGGUACUAGAGAAUGUCCCUUCCACUCUACCACUGGUUUAUUUGGGAAGGCAAAAGUGACUCUUCGGGUCCUACAAUCUAAUGUAGCAUAACAUAAAUGGAGCCAGUCACUAGGAUAGCAUCAAAGUCAACUAUCUCAAGAUCUAUGAGGUCUGCCACAGUAUCUCGGCUAUAGAUGGAUACAAUAUAAUUUCUAUACACCUGUCUAGCUACAAUAGAAUCUCCCACUGGAGUGAAAACAAAAAAAGGCUCAGCAAUUACAUCGGGCUCAAACCCAAAACCAAUAGUCAUAUAAAGGGUCACAUAGAAAAAAGUAGAUCCAAGACUAAGUAAUACAUAUACAUCACGAGAAAAGAUUUGUAACGUACCGGUAACUAUAUCUGGGGAAGAUUCUACAUCCUGACGAUUGGUCAAGGCAUACAACCAGUUGCGUCCUCUCUCUGUAGCUGAAGUGGUGCCUUUAGGAACAGGAUCUAUGGAGGCGGCUUGGGACUUAUCUCCCCCUGCAUUACCUCUAGUUGAAGGGUAAUCUCUCUGAAUAUGACCCAUUUAACCGCAGGAAUAACAAUUCCUCCUCUCAAAGUAACACUUUCCAGGGUGGUUCUUCCCGCAAACACUACAACGGGGAAAAGAUCUUACGAGUUGCGUUAUGCUGCCCCAAGAAUGGGUGUCCUACAUCCUCCACCCACUAUUUACCUGUGGAUUUAAGGGUUGCUGACCACGUGGAGGUCUGGGCAUGGGGGCACUUCCUGCAGGAUGAGAAUUACCCCAAUUCUUUCUCUUCUGCCAUCUGUUACUCCAAUUACCACUCUGCUACUGGUUGUGGCUUUGGUCUGCUAUCUUGCUCUUUUGCUCUCUUUUCCUACCUGUCCUUCUCCCUAGAUUUAGAGAUUCUUUGCUUAUGCUCCUCUAACUACUGCAUGUGGAUUGUCAGUUUAGAGAAGUCCACAUCCUUAUUUAGCAUUAACCCCUUACACUCAAGCACUAAGUUGUCUGAAAGUCCAUAUGCAAACUUUCUCAUUUGGGCUCUCAUAUUACCAGUCAUUUCCAGAGCAUAUCGGGCUAGUUGGUUGAACUUCAGAGUGUAUUCCUUGACACUUAUUUUUCCUUGCUUUAGAUUCUUGAACUCUUCUGCUUUGGUCUCCCUCAACUCUAGAGGAAAGAACCUAUCAAGGAAGGCUUCCACGAACUUGUCUCAUACUGUGGGCUCAGCAUUCUCACCCUUCAAAUCCUCCCACUUGUUAAACCACUAAUUUACAACUUCUUUAAGCUGAUAAGUUGCUAACUCCACCCCUUCCACCUCGUCUAUAUGCAUCACUUUAAAAAAUUUCUCCAUCUUAUCCAUAAAUUCCUGUAGAUCCACCUCUACUUUGGUGCCAGUAAACUUGGGCGGGUUCAUUCUCAUGAACUGACCCACCCUAGUAGUCUCAGAUGUAAUGAAUGCAGACCCAAUAUAUUAUGACCGUUUAGUCUGUAUGACCACCAAUUACGCCAGCAUGUGAAUGGACUCUCUGAAUUCUGCAUUAGAAAUGUCCCUCUGGGAAGACUUCGGAUGGUUAACAUUUGUUCUUGGAGCCUGAGAAGGACUGGUCGGGACUGGUGGUAUUCUUGGAGUAGGGACAGGUUCUGGGGUGUGAGCUAUGUUAUGGUUCUGUAUCCCAUGAGUGGGAAGGACCUCAUUAGUCUAAGAGUUCUGAUUGUUAGAGAGAUGAGGAGGCAUGGCUGUUUUCUGAAUGCAAGAGAUCAUUGAUUAGAGCAUAGAUUAGACUCCAAAGCACGAACUGAAUCACAAAGAGGGAAACAUUCCUAAACACCUAGUAGCCUCCUACUUAUAAGUAUGGGGCACUACACACCCAUAAACAAGACUCUACCCAAUGCAAUUUCGCAGACAACUUGGACCAUAAACCGUGCUUUGAUACCAAGUUUUUCAUGACCCGAACCGGGACCCUAGCCGUGAAGAGCAUCCCAAACCAUAAAGGAUCAGAUGCCAUUCUAACUUGUAAUCACAUACACUGCUCGUAUACAAAAGACAAUGCAGAAAUAUAUAUAUACUGAAAUGGGAACAUGAUCAUAAGUCUGAAAUAAAUUUAACAAUAGAGUAUGUCAUCCAAUACUAACUAAUAGCAUCUGAAAAUCGUCUGCAAAAUCUCUACUACAUGGUCAAUAACAACUAUCUGAAAACUUGAACAAGGCCCCAGUAGACCAAAAACCAUAACAAAUGAUAAAUGUCUAGAAAUAAUCAGGCCAUCAGAAUUAUAGAAGGCCCACCAACUGGACUCUGCGCUUCUGCCUAACGGAAUCUACUACUUAUCAGGACCCCUGGAUUGUUCCUCAGAACCUGAGAAGGAGGGGGGUCAAUACAGAUGUAUUGAUACGCAGAGUAAUCCAAAAACAAAAUAUAAUCUUUAUAUAACAUAUAUGAGAGCUGGUAUAAAAUACUUUAUCACAAAACAGUUUAAAAACACAUGGGCAUAGUAUAAUGAUUUUUCAAUGACAAUGCAAUACUACUGAGCUAGGUGGUACACCCUACAACUUUAUAUUUUCACCAACUGCCAAAUCUCGAUUGCCGCCCAGAUUGGAAUAUGAGUGAGGGAAGGACACAAAAGAUCAGACAACAGGGUGCCAUACCCCAAUUAAGUCAAUAUGUCGUGGUUGUGCUCAAGAUCACAAAGCAGGGAUCCUAACCAUUAGUCCCAAUUUGGGAUGACAUAAUAGUUGGUACGCAAGAUCACAUAGAAGGGUACCAAAUUCCCGUGUCGGCAAUCACGAUUUCCAUCAUAGAGUCAUUUGACUAGUGCUUUCUUUGGGUAACCACCUAACUCACAUAAAUAUAAGCUUUAAGCUUGAUUCAAGACAAAGCAUACAUCUUACUCUACAGGGUAUCGUCAUACCCUGACUUGCAAGUCAUCGGUACCACAUCAAUUCAUCAUCUCGUUAUGUAAUUCAUGGUAUGCACACACAUAAUACUUCCACACCUCAAACACAUGAACAACGGUUCUCAAUAUGUAAUAAUUCAAGAAAUUUUUAUCAUUUAUAAAGUAGUAUCAUAGUAGUUACAGAACCCAUUAUCAUGGUAAUAAACAUUAUCAUGGGGAAAUUUAAAGAGUUCACAAUUUAUAUUCAUCACAUCCUUUUUAAAUUCAAUUCGCACGUCCACAAAUUCAACACAUUGAGAUAUAUGGCAAACAAUCCCAUGAUAUUUCAAUAUUCCUUUCAAAAUCAUAUCUCAAAACAUGUUAUUGGCAUUAAAACGAAAACCCCACUUGUAAUAACAUAUAUAUACUUGUAUGAAUAUUAAAGUCUUGUGUAAAUUCUUUUCAAUAUCAUGCCAAUGAGAUUUAGGACAACCCCACAUACCUCAAUAUAGGUAUUCAAUGGAUGCUUCUUGAAGCCUAUGAUUUGGGAAUUCCGAAUCUUCGAUCAAUUUCUGAAAUUCACAGUUUAAUCUCGAGUUAUAAGGAAUUUUUUUGUUUGAAACCCUAAGGGUAUUCUUUAAUGGAUUUUGAUGAAAAAAUGAAUAGAGCGGUCUUUUGGGAUAAAAACCUCGUGUUUGGGCACAUUAGAAUGAGGGAAAAUUAUCCAAUUGCCCCUUUAAGAUGUGGAUUUUAAAAUCUGAAAUAAUUGGGCACCGAUGUGAUUGGUGACGCGGUGCGUCGAUGCCAUCGGUGCUAUACCCGACGCAUUAUGCCUUAAUUGUGUCAAGCCUCAGUACUUUUUGCCUGGCAUUUCCUGCACGAAAUUGACCAACGCGAUAGGCAAUGCGGCGCGCUGAGAUCGCGUUGGUCCAGUAUUUUGGUACACCAAACAAGGUCUAAACAUGGUCCGAAAAAUCCAAAACUUGUUCGAAAACACCCAUUGACCUCCCGGAUCAUGAAUUUUCUAAAAUACCAAGUAUAGAGGGUCGGUAAGGUCAAAAAUAAGAUCAUCGAAGAUUAGAAGCUCAAAAUAAUUCUAAAUCCUUUUUACACUUAGAAAAAUUUUCAAAUCUUUAACUCUUUAAGCAUACUACUAGGAGCUAAUACAUGCACGACUUUUUCAAGGUGUUACGGAAUGAAAAUCCAAACAAAGUGUAUUCAAUUUAAAAAUAUAUUUUCAGGCUUUGUUGUAUCCUGAUAGAGAAUUGCUUGUAAUCCAUAAAGAAAAUACGGGCAAUAACUCUUGUCAUUUUCUUGAUAUUCAUGUUAUCACAAAGUGUCACGAUUUGUGAUACAUAAUUUGUAACUUCUGAAUGGUUACUUGGCACAAUUAAGUGGUUGUAUUGCUGCCUUCUGUAGUUAUUUUUAAGUCCCAACUGCUAAAUAAAUAUGGAUGUAGACUUCCCUAAGUUUCUAUUAGUUGAAUGCAUAAAGGGAAAAACAUUUUUGAGAAUCCCAUUGUGGAUGUUCUUCCAUUCAAAUUUCGUUUAACAGUUUGAUAAUCUAGUGUGGUCUGAAAAGUUUGAAAUGACUUAAAACUAAGCCUUGAUGAAUAUAUAAAUGGUUUUAGGGGUUCGUGAUUUUGUAUCUAUUGUCAUUCAUGGCUUAGGGUGUGUUUGAUAUGAAGAAAAAUACUUUUCACUAAAAAUAAGUGUGUUUCUUACUUAUUUUUUAAAAUAAGCAGAAAAUAUUGGUUGAAAAAUAUUUUAUAUAAUUUAUACAAUUACCAUGGAGAGGAGUGGGGAUAGGAGUGUGGGGAUGCUUAGAGAUGGAGGCUGGAUGUGUUGGAGAAUGAAGAGAAAAUAAUUAAUAUGGAAUACCACUUAUAUAACUUGCUCUUGUACUUCUGCGAGAGAGGUUACUUUUCUCAUUUUAAGGAACUUAUUUUUCUAGAAAAAAAUAUAAUCGACCAAAUAUAGGAAAAUUGAAAAAUGUAAAGUGAAAAAUAUUUUUCUCUAUGCCUAGAUAGCCUUAGGGGACUUUUGGUAGAGUAUAUAAGAAUAAGGCAUAAUAUAGUGUAUUAGUAAUGCUUGUACUAGUUGUACUUGCAUUAGUUAUAUUGAUAUUGUUUCUUAUACAUUGUUUGGUUUGAUGUAUUAAAAAUAAUAUCUUACAGAAUUCCUACAAAAAUGUUUGUUUACAAAAAUAUCCUUCUUUGACAUUGUACACUUUCUUUGCAACAAAGUUCUUUUGCCAUCUUAAACAUAAUUAGUAUUGUUGAACUAAUAUAUAGAGGUGUAGGAUUACUUGCAAGACCUUCAUCUUUGCGCAUGAAAUGUUAUGUUGAUGGAUUAACAUAGUCGAAACGAAAAAAAUACAAGAUGUAGAAUCAAUGAAUAGUCUCAUGAAAUUUAUUUUUAAUCUUUUUAUAGACCCUUGAAGCAAAAAAAGGAUAUAUUAUAGUUAUUUAAACCAGCUAUCAUAAGCAUAAUCCAUACAUAAUUCAACAUGCGGAAGAAAUAGUGAAAUUCAACUUUAUCUUAUGAUCAGAAUAACCUGGUAUAUCCCCCAAUCCAAGUUUUCCACAAGGAUUGGAGUUUUCAUAACUUGGUAUAUCCCCCGGUGAGUAUACCGUAGGCAUCCCCUUAUGUGAGAUGUCCUAAUUAUACUCCCAUGUAAGGUAACAUAUCAUAAAUUUCUCAUCGGCAAAACACAAUUUUCGACAAUGAGUUAUCUGAAUUUGUUCCCUCUUCGGGUAACCAUCUAACUUUCUUAGAGCCCAUUUAUAGUCUUUUAAAACAUGCAUAUUUCCCAAAACAUGGUCUGAAGUCUGAAAAAUUCUGUAGUCUAUCAUGACAUUUAUCUGAUUUGGUAUUGUCAUACCAAAACUUGCAAGUCAUAUAAGUCGUAUCAUAUCAUAUCAUGUCAUGUCUUCAGCCCUUUAUUUAAAAGCAUGCUAUUUGAGCAAAUAAAUGAUGAGUUCUUAUUUCAAAAGAACAUGAAAACUUAUGCAAAAUACUAUGCUUUCAAGACUUUAACAUCGGUUGGCCAUCAUUUUCAUAAAUCACAUGCAAUUCUUUUAUUUAACACAAAAGGGCAUUUAUCAAUAUGAAACACCUCUUGAAAAAAUAUAAAAGGACAAGGCAUAUUUGAUAAAGAUUCGUUUAAAACUCAUGUUUCUCAUCGUUCAUUAAACAACCCCCAACAAUAGAAUAAAUAAAUCUCAUGAUCGAAAAAGGGAGUCUAUUAGUUCAUGCUAUCAAAUUCACUUCAAAACCCAUAAUACAUGCACAUAUUUCAUAAUUAUUUAGGAGCCACAAAAUUUUUUAAAUACAUGAAUCUUAUAAAUAGUUCAAAUACUUCAAAACUCUUAACAUAUGCACAUAAUCAAAGUCUCAAACUUGAAGAAAAUCCCAUAAUAAAUGCAUAAUUCCAUCUUAAGGUUGAGGUUUCGAAAUUCAUGUUUUUUAAAUCAACUUCAAAGCCUUAACUUACAUACAUACAUAAUAAGGAUUAUUAAAAUCAACAUACUUAUGCCAAUAAAUUUUAGGAUAGUUCUACAUAUCUUUGAGGUAGAAAAAUUAAAUAAUAACCUUGAAUUUGGAAUCUACAAGCUUUAGCAUUGAGAAACCCCUUCUUGAUGAUAUUGGGAGGAAGAGAAUGAGGAUUUGGAAGAAACCCUAGCUUCUUUCUUGAGAAAUGAGAAGAGAAUGAGCGUUUUAAUCUGAUUAUUAAUGAGUAAUAAUUCUUAUUGGAAGAUUUAAAUCAAGCGGGAGGAGUUUGUGGUGGGAAAAAAAUCAAAUACCCCCUUGAAAACUUUAUAACAGUGCAAAACGGUUCCUACUGAUGGUUUGGGUAACGGAUCAUCACUCCCGUGAUAGACUGUCACUCCAGCCGUCCCAAAUUGACAAAUUUUCUCUCUAUUUGCUUAAAGGCGGCUGUCUGGUGCGACGGGCCAUCACCCUAGCCGUCGCGCCUUGGAAGACAAACACCUUUUGAUAAAUCAUGCAUAACUUUUUAUUACGAUAUCAAACUAAAGCAAAACUGAUGGCGUUGGAAAGAAGACUCGAAGACCUCUCAUUUGAUAUACAGGAUGCCACCCUAACUCAUUAUAUUUUAGGAGUAAUAUUUGUUGGAAUUUGACCCAAGUUGGAACAUUUCCUAAAACUCAAUCAAUAGAAAAAUUCUCAACUCAACUUUGAGUUUGGAGAUUUUUAUGAUCUCAAUUUAUCUGUAAAUAUGUUCCCUCACUAAAGAAUUGAUCCUCACACUAAUAUGGACACAAAAUCAUUAGGUUCGGAUCUAUAUAUGUAGGAAUGAAGGUUCGAAUUCUAACCCGAAAAUGUGGGGUGUCACACAAACGACCCCUUAAUCUAAAUGCCCUAUCAAGUAUUUUAGUCACUUAAACAUGGAAAAUUGCACGUAAGAUUAGAAGCUGUGGAAUCAUACCCUAUCAUCCAUAGUGUAAUAAGAAAAAAGAAAAAGGAAAACUUUACACCUUGUUUGGAUUGUUAUUACAAAUACGACAUUUGCUUAGAUUGCUAUUUAAAAUAUAUUAUAUCGUAUUGUUAAAUCCAUCGUGCAUAACAAUGAAAAGCUCCAUUGUGUGUGUUAGCCUUAUACUACGUUGCAACAUUCUUUUGGACAUUUUUCAAUAGUUUUGUGCAAAUUAUACGCUCCAAAGUCUACCAUUUACCUAGCAUGAAUUUCGUUUAAUCCAUAAAAACGUAGAAUCCCAUGAGACCACCCUUUAAUUUUUGUUUACCAUACAAAUUUUUAUGUGCCACACAUUUAACUAAACAAUAGCUUUUAUCUCUUCCAUCCAUUAUUUCAGCAUCUUAAUUUAAGCAAAACCAUACAAACACACAUGAUUCUUAAUCUAUUCACACCUAUAAAUAAUCCUCCUUUUCAUUCUUCAUUUCUCAUAAUCACAAUUUGUUUUUAACAAAAGUAAAAAGAAUGGAGGUGUCUAACAAGAAAAUAACAUCUCCAUUCUUUGCUUUCUUGUUUAUUUCUUCUCUUCUUAUUCAAUGUUUUCCGUGUGUUUCAUCAAAACCAAUUCCUGGAGGAAAAUACAAUAAGCCGGUCCCAAACCCAGGCCCCAUAAAUCCGGUCCCAAAUCCAGGCCAACCACUUCCAAAUCCUACAACACCGGGGGGCAAAAAAUUUUGCGUACCCAAACCUGAGGCUACAGAUAAAAAAUUGACGGCUUGUAUAAAAUGGGUUUGCAAAGAGGGAGGUGUGGAUUGUGGCCCAAUUAAUCCUGGAGGUGCAUGUUCUCAGCCCAAUACUCUUAGGUCUCGUGCAACCUGGGCCAUGAAUGCUUACUUUCAAAUGAAGGGUAAAACUGACAGUAUGUGUGGUUUUUCGGGCACUGGUGUCGUCUCUUCCAUUGAUCCAAGUAAGUAUUCAACAUUUUUUUGAUCAGUGUAAAGAAUUUUGUAUAUUAUUAAAUCACUUUGAAGAUGAAGAAUUUUUGCGAUACAUAUUGACAACGUUUUGUCAAAUCACCAAUAAGAUAACCAUGUAUAAUUCAGCAUAGUAAUUAAGAUUAGUAACCUAAAAUAUUAGGCAAACAACUGAAAUAACAGUUUAAAUUAUACCGAUAGUGUAAAAGUUUUUGAAAUUUUAAGCUUAUGUAAGUUUUCACAACAUUAAGUGUUUAAUCACUUAUUAUAAAAUAAUAAAAUAUUGAAUUUGGAUUGAAAUCAAAUUUAUAAUUAAUAGACCGUGAAUUCAAUAAGAAAACUAAAAAUGGAGCAAUUCAGUUCUAUCCUAAUACAAUUUUUUUUGUAAUUAGUCCCAUGACAAAAUUAUAAUUAUACCCAUUAGUAAGUUUUCAAAUGGAGAAAAUUAUAACUUGAAAAGGCAAAUAAGUCAAUCAUUUUUUAGUGGAUAUUUUGGUAAGCCAAUAUUAUUAUUCUUGAUUCUAUAAUAAUAUAGACAGAUAGAUAUAAAUUACAUCUACUUAUUGUUUAGGCUAUUUAAAUAGUAUAAAAAAAUCUUGUGUUUU
This 68728-nucleotide long non-coding RNA is filed under the name Capsicum annuum. Its description in RNAcentral is "long non-coding RNA (CANN_LNC007637)". Lineage: Eukaryota; Viridiplantae; Streptophyta; Magnoliopsida; Solanales; Solanaceae. The record is from RNAcentral.